AAAUCUGACCAACUAGAUAUUACGGGUCUAAAUAGCAUGAAACAACAAAAUCCAUUGUUUGUUGAUGUACUCUGGAUUUUUUUCCGAACAAGCAUGAGAACUGUGUAUCUUUAUAUUAAUCAGAAAAGGGGGCAAUAACUCUUCAAAACAUAAACAAUACACACACAGUUUCUAAGAAAUAUAUGUGCCUUUUUAUUUAUACAAUAAACAUGACCUUGGUCACAACUAUAAAAACUAGGGGCGGGCUUGGUUGGCUUCCAUUCCGGCGGGCUCUACGGCAAGUAGGUAAGCAAGAAGGCUUCCAGCCUGGUUGGGAGACAUGCCAUUGAACAUUAGAACUUCCAUCGUUGAAAAUUCAUUAGUCCCUAGGGCUUUCUCCGUUCUAAAUUAUAAACCAUUCUAAUUCUUUUAGAUACUAUGUGUCUAUGUAUCUAUCUAACCAUAAUGUAUAUCUUGAUGCAUAGCAAAAGCUCAUGUAUUUAGAAACUCUAGAAUGACUUAUAAUUUGGAACGGAUGGAGUAAUUUUUUGUUAUUGUACUGUUUCUUAUGUAUUUUUGGAUUAUUCCAUGAGUGAAAAUUUGCUAUUCUAUGGUAUAUUCUGAUGUGCAGUAGGGCAAUCCAUUAUUUGGUGAUGUAUUUUGUAUUCUUCAUUCAAAGAAAAUUAAUGAAUAAGCAGUGGUAUAUGUUUAUUGUUCCGGUAUAUGAAAAAAUGCAUUGUUUGGUGGUAUGUUUUUAUUAUUCCAGUAGGGAAAAAUUAAUUGUUCUUCGCUAUGGUUUGGAUUGUUCCGCUAGUGAAAAACUGUUUUGCUAUCAUAAUUUAACCUCAUUUAUAGGUAUAUGUUUAGUUUCUCCCGUGAAGGCGGCACCAGGUGGUGCUUUAAAAAAAAAAGAACUGAUGAACGCAAUGCAGCCGCAUAUCUCUGCUUGACUGCUUCUGUUUGAUGUGGACGCUGCGAGCUGCAUGUGGCCGACAAUCUGAGAUGGAAUGAACAGGCGGACGCUGCGAGCUGCAUGUCGACGAAAGCAGUCUACCUUAGGUAUACCCAUACGAAACUUGACGGUGACGCAAGACACGGACAAGGUUUUUAUCAAGGUUCGGCCGCCGUGUGGACGUAAUACCUACGUCCUGCAUCUGAUUGUAUUGAAUUGUGUUGAGAUAAUCUGUAAUAGGGGGUCCCUUGCCUCUCCUUAUAUAGUCCAGAGGGCAGGGUUACAGAUCUGAAAAAACUAUUUCUAGUCGGUUACAAUUGCCAUAGAUAGUACGAUAUCAAUUCCUAUUCUAACCAACCAGAAUCCUGCUUGAUCUCCACGUCUUGUUUCCUUGCAUGAAACUCCGAGCAGUUAGAUUAAGCCUCGUGGCCAAGUCUAGCCGUAAGGGUAUAGGGGUUUAUACCCCCACAGCUAGUCCCCGAGCACCAUGUAUUGUGAUGUAACAUGCCAUCUUGAGCUUCUUCGACCAGUGAGACUUGACGUCUUCAAUAAGCAGGAAAGUCGCCCAAGCAAUUGCAACGACAUUUCGACCAAUCUCGAAAACGAGUUGACCAGCAUCAAUCAUUGAAGAAGCCGGUUGUUCGAAGAAUACAUGGUGCUCUUGAGAAAAAAGAUUUCUUUCCUGGUGAAGUGUGCCCACUUUACUUUUCUGAAAAGUGCAGUUUUUCAAAAAGCGAGCAUAUUCACCGCUAGGUGAAGUGUGCCCACUUAGUCCCUGAGCCUGUUAGUAGGUGACGUAGACACGUGGUGCCAGGGUCUAGAAAGAAAAUUAUCUUUAAAUCUCUGAUACUAAGGUGCAUCGCUAGAUGCAUCGUACCGAUGUAGUCCCCGAGCUUGCUGGAAGGCGAAGUAUGAUUCUUGUAGCAAGGUCUAAAAAAUUAAAAUUAUUCAGUUUAAUUCAUAUGUAAUUGAGAAAAGCAGUCCCCAAGUUGCGGUCGAAGAAUGAUUGAAGCAAGUCCCCAAGUUGCAGGGUAGUCAGCACAGUCCCCGAGCACGGCAUAAAACAUGAUCAACCAGUCCCCGAGCAUGGUUGGGAACGUAAACGUGCUCGGUACAGUCCCCAGACUUUCAAACGAGUAUGCUAAUCGGCCAGCCUCUGAGCGUAUCACGCUCGGUGGUCGGUACAAUCAAUCGAGAUAUCAAAUUAGCACACUGAUCAACCAGUCCCCGAGCAUGCCAUGCUCGUUGGUCGGUGCGAUCAACCGAAUAGUCGAAUGAACAAACUGGUCGACCAGUCCCCGAGUAUGUCAUGCUCGGUGGUCGGUGCAGUCAAUCAAAUUGUCAAAUGAGCAGACUAGUUGACCAGUCUCCGAAUAUGUCAUGCUCGGUGGUCGGUGUAGUCAACAAGUAUGUCAUAUCCGUUCCACCAACAGACCCACUUCUCUUUUUGAAAAUAGCAUAUCGCCGUAUUAAUGCGAGAUGUGACAGAGCGUCCUGGCACAUUGUCAGACUGUUGCGUAAAAAGGCACGCCUGGUAACUGUGCAGCCGCUCUUUGCGCAGUCCAAGAAAAGAAAACCAUCAAUUAUGCAGAAAAGUCAUUAUAUUAACUGCGAUAAUUAUUGAAAACCGAAACGCCACGGCCGCCGCAAGAUCCGCCCACUUCCCCAUAACGCGGGAAGUGGUAGAGGUGGAGCCGCUGUUAUAAAAAGCUCGAUGCGGCGUCCAUACUCUUUACCUAGCCUUUGCCUACAAGCCUUCUACCCUUGCCAUUACUGCCUCCGCCUCCUUCCACACCCAUUCCAGUUCAAAGUUCUUUCUACGGCGUCAAUGGCGAAGAGCGACUCGAAGAAAAGGGCCGAGUUGAUGGCCAAGGAGUGGAAGAAGUCCCAGAGCAGCACGAGGUCCCUCAACGACCUCGUCGGAAUGGGUCUGCUACACAACCAGGAGCUCGGCGGCUGGAGGGCGCCAGAGGGGGAGAGCUACCCCGACCCCCGCGCCGAUGAGAUUGUUGUUUUUGAGGAUUUCUUCAAGAGGGGCUUUGGGAUUCCCGUCCAUCCUUUUCUGCAGGGCCUUCUUCUCUACUAUGAAAUCGGGAUCUGCAAUCUGCACCCGAACUCCAUUCUCCUCAUCUCUAUCUUCAUUCACUUGUGCGAAGCCUAUGUUGGAAUAGAGCCGCACUUCGACCUCUUCCGCUACCUUUUCUGUUUGCGGAAGAAAGGAGUAGUUGGAGGCUCCAAGAUUGCAGGUGGAGUAUACCUCAAUCUGCGCGACGGGAUGAAGAACUGGUACCUCAGCUGCCCAUGGAACACUUCCCUCACCGAAUGGUACAAGAAGUGGUUCUACAUCAGGGAAGAGCUGGGCAGCGCCAUGUUCAACGACGUGGGCUAUAUCCCCGAGAAGAGGGUCAGCUGGACAGAUCGUCCAGAGUACAACGGUCAAGUGGCAGAACUGAUGAGCCUGAUUGACUGGUCCCGCUUAGACGGGCCAAGAGUGGUCGGGAACUUCCUUGUACGACGAGUGAUGCCUUGCCAGAGGAGGGUGCACUCGGCGUAUGAGUAUGCGGGGAGUCAAGACCCGACCAGGAUGUGCCCGGAUGGUCUGGAGAAGACGGAGGUCCAGCAACUGAUGAACGAGUUGUUCAAAUUGUCGGAUGACAACUUCGUUCGAAGUGAUGAUCGGAUGCACGCCUUCAAGCUAGGACGACUAGCUCCUAAGGUAAACGAGCACUAUUAUUGAGUUGUAUCGCUAUGUGAAUACUGUUGUCUCUUGGUUUGAUGAAUUGACGUUGGUUUCAUUGCAGAUUGGAGACAUUGACCGGUGCUCGGUGUAUGUAUCACUGGCACCUGGUAUGGACCAGCCUGCUGGGGUGGACCCGACAGUAGACGAUGCUGCUAGGUGUCCCAAUACACCAGCAGUGAAGAAGAGCAAAACCGACCGGCGCCGACCACCGAGGACAGGGUGGUGGGGAAAAGGCCAAUGGCCGUAUAGCCAUCCCCUACGGAGGCACUGCCGGCGGAGACCAGCCAGGCUCCUAAGCAUCGUCGGCUCGUGAGGAUCGCCGACGACGAGGACGAAGAGGAGGAGGCUACGCCAUCUUUGGUCAGGAGACCGCGCAGUCGGCCUGACGUUGCGCCGAUCACCACUGGUCGGGAGACCAGUGAUCCUCUGGCCCCGCACGCCGAGUCGACGUGACUUGGGGGGGCAGAGGCAGCAGUGACGACUGGUAGGACCAGAAGGAGGUUCUUCGCAGCGACGCACAGGCGCUCCGACCUGUGAGUUCUACAACCUACCUUCUACGCUUCCUCCUUGUUGUUGUUUUGUUUUUUUGUUGCGAGUUGUGACGUCAGCAUGAUAUCUUCUGUUGCUAGUGCAGCGUCGGAUGUUGAUCCGGGCAACGUCGCCGGCCAGAGAACGACCGAGCCGGCGGUUGUCGUUGAAAACACCGCCGAGCAGACUACCCAGAAGCCAAUCGAGGAGCAGCCCGCGGUUGUGACUGCGGCUGAGACUGCCGAGGAGGAUCCGGCUCAGGCGAGGACCGGGGCGAGCACCCAGACAAGGGACGAUGAGGCUGCGAGGACGCCUCCCCCGAGUAGUGUCGCGGAGGAGGAAGACAGAGCCCCGACUUCCCUGCUAGCUGGAGAUAGGAGGGCCCUGACUCCACCCCGAGCAGAAGCUUCUUCACCAAAGGGCUCCCCUAGACAGGGUAAGGGUCCAGUGAUACCCGUGACCACGGCUGGGGGUAGCACGGAGGGCGGGGAGGCCUAGACAACCUCCAACGAUGAAGUGGAAGAGAUCCAGGGGCACCCCCAUGAUGGUCGCCAACACGUGUUCAUGUGGCACCAACAUGUGGACCACUUCAUCGGCCACGAAGAGCUUGCCGAGACCGAGGAGGCGGCAAGGGUAGAGCGCGCUGCCAAGCGGCUCGUUGAUGCAGUCAAGGUAGGUGGUCUUGUGUUUCGCCAAAAUAUGUAUAUAUUGUUGCUUGUUUACUUCACAAUACGUGUAAUUCUUGCAGGGCACAAUGAAAACGGCGAAGUACCGAAAAAGGUGCUUCGACCAAAUUGAAGGGAUCGUGGCCGAGAAUAAGGCCCUGACCGUGGAGGUGGACCGCCUUCGGUCGGAGGUCGAGGAGAAGGCGGCCGAGAAGGCAGCUCAGGAAGAGCGCCUGCUCGAUCUUAAUCGGCGACUAGCCGACAAGGAGCAUGCCGGUGCGCUGGAGGCCAGGCGCCAGGCUGGCGAGGAGCUAAAAAACAAGAGUCGAGAGUUGGCUGGUAAGAGCCGUUUCACCCUUUUUGAUUACACAACGUUCCUUUUCUCGUGUUUAUACUGACUUCUUGCUUGGUUUUCUGUCAUAGUGCUUAAAGUCAAUACUAAGAAGCACCUCGACGAGCUGGUCAAGGACCGGGACUCCUGGAAGACCAACUGUAUCAAGAUCUGGAAAGGAGUGGCCCCGGUUCUCGACUUGAUCAGCCCCGAGCUCCACGAAGACCAGCCCCGCGCAUCGAGGCUGACCUCGGUCGAGAAGGCGCAACAGGCGUGGGGCUGGCUUCAGCAGUUUGUCAAGGACAUCGGGGAGUUUGCCGGGGCGCACGUCCUCAGCAUGGUACGUGCCCACUACCCCUGGUUGACUUGUCCCGGCUGGAGAGGGGGUAUCCCAAGGAGGUUGGUCCGCAGGAGGCAGAUGACCUUUGUGUCGGCCUGCUCGACUUGUCGUCGACAGUGAUCAGCGACAUAAACCUCUGUGGGACGUCAACUCCCCUCAACCAACCCGGAUCAGACAGGUCAGCUAGGGAGUUGUCGGGGGCGUCCAUUGCAGGAGAUGGGCGGUCGACGCCUACGGUCUUGUCCAGCCAGACGCCGGUGGCCCCGAACCCUUCGACUGGACAGCAGAGCCGUGCGGGUGAUCAGCCCGAGCAGUAGGCUUAUAAGGUAGUCUGUAGGAGUAGACUAGAGACCGCCCAGAGGGGUGUUUAUUGUAAACUUUGUGUAUAAAGUUUGUAAUAAAGCUUAAUUUAUCGUAACCAUGGUUUUGAGCGCUGUAAUAUUGUUUGAGUGAUGUAUCACUGAGUCAAGUUGACGGUCUUUGAGGACCUUUGUCCUUGAAAGUAAUUUGUAGUACUUGUCGAAUGUUCUGCGUAUGAAAAAAGUAUAUAGCAAAAAAGAUAGGUUUAAUUAUUAUUCAUCAUAAAGGAUUUACAAAUGAAAUGUACUAGAACUUAGGGAUAGAAACGGCGUAAUUUGUCUAUGUGCUAGGAGUUGGGCAAGCGUGUUCCGUCUAGGUACGCCAGUCUGUAAGAUGUAGGGCGUGUGACUUCGGCGACCACGAAGGGUCCUUCCCAAGGUGUAGAUAACUUGUGCAUUCCUUCUUGGCUUGUUUUCCAUUUGAGUACCAGAUCACCGACCACGAAGGAGCGGUCUUUGACGUUCCUGUUGUGGUUCCGCCUAAUCGCUGUUCGAAGGCAAGAGAUUAGGCGCUUUUCUUCUGUGCAGUUGAUUUCGAGUUCUGUGGCGAGGUCGGCCGAAGACUGGUCGAAAUGUUCGACUCUUGGAGACCCAAAGACCACGUCCGAAGGGAGCACUGCUUCGGUGCCGUAAACCACGAAGUAGGGCGAUGCACCCGUGUUGCGACUAGCCUGUGUUCGGAGACCCCAAACCACAGCCGGUAACUCUUUCAUCCAUCGUCCUGGUGCUCUGCCGUUUUCAGUAUACAUCCUUUUCUUCAAAGCAUCGAUAAUCAUUCCGUUUGCUCGCUCCACGUGACCGUUGGCCCGUGGGUGGGCUACCGACACGUACUUUAUGACCAUGCUUCUGUCAUCGCAGAAGUCCCAUAAUGUAGUGCCGGUGAACUGAGUGCCCAGAUCAGUGAUUAUGCUGUUGGGGACCUCGAAUCUAUGUAUGAUUUGAUUGAGGAACUCCACGGCCUUCUCGGAAGUUGCUUUGACCAGUGGCAUGUACUCGAUCCAUUUCGAGAAUUUGUCGAUUAGUACGAAGACAAAUUUGAAAUUGCCGGGGGCCGGCUUGAAUGGUCCGAUCAUGUCGAGGCCCCAACAGGCGAACGGCCAGGACGACGGAAUCGUCUGAAUCUCGUGAGCGGGUACGUGGGUCCGCUUGGCGAAAAACUGGCAUCCUUCACAGUGUCGGACCAGUUUCUCGGCGUCGGCGACUGCGGUUGGCCAGUAAAAACCUGCUCGGAAAGCCUUCCCGACCAGUGUUCUGGAAGCGGCGUGGUUACCACAGGACCCGGCGUGUAUGUCAUCUAGGAGCUUGACGCCAUCAUCUUGGGAUAUGCAUUUCAGCAAUACUUCGAAACUUACGUUCUUAUACAUAUGUUUGCCGCCGACCAGUAUGUAAUUCUUAGAUCGCCGAAUAAGGCGCUCGUUCUCCGUUUUAUCUUGAAAUCCCGAACCGUCGGAUAGAUACUGGAUGAAGGGAGUGCGCCAGUCGUGGCUGCUGGUUGCCGGAGUGCUAUCGUCUAUGUGCAUUGCCUCAUUGGGUUGCUUGUCGACCAGACCGAGGAGGCGGCAAGGGUAGAGCGCGCUGCCAAGCGGCUCGUUGAUGAAGUCAAGGUAGGUGGUCUUGUGUUUCGCCAAAAUAUGUAUAUAUUGUUGCUUGCUUACUUCACAACACGUGUAAUUCUUGCAGGGCGCAAUGAAAACGGUGAAGUAUCGAAAAAGGUGCUUCGACCAAAUUGAAGGGAUCGUGGCCGAGAAUAAGGCCCUGACCGCGGAGGUGGACCGCCUUCGGUCGGAGGUCGAGGAGAAGGCGGCCGAGAAGGCAGCUCAGGAAGAGCGCCUGCUCGAUCUUAAUCGGCGACUAGCCGACAAGGAUCGGGAGAAGAAAGGUAAGUCGUGCGUUCCGAGCAGUUGUAUUUAACUACGUGGUCGGGUUUUUGACCAGCGAUUAUUUCUGCAGAUCUGGAGGAGGAGAUUAAUCGCCUCCUUGGGGAAAGGGAAUAGCUCGACCAGGAGCGUGCCGGUGCGCUGGAGGCCGGGCUCCAGGCUAGCGAGGAGCUAAAAAACAAGAGUCGAGAGUUGGCUGGUAAGAGCCGUUUCGCCCUUUUUGAUUACACAACGUUCCUUUUCUCGUGUUUAUACUAACUUCUUGCUUGGUUUUCUAUUAUAGUGCUUAAAGUCAAUACUAAGAAGCACCUCGACGAGCUGGUCAAGGACCGGGACUCCUGGAAGACCAACUGUAUCAAGAUCUAGAAAGGAGUGGCCCCGGUUCUCGACUUGAUCAGCCCCGAGCUCCCCGAAGACCAGCCCCGCGCAUCGAGGCUGACCCCGGUCGAGAAGGCGCAACAGGUGUGGGGCUGGCUUCAGCAGUUUGUCAAGGACGCCGGGGAGUUUGCCGAGGCGCACGUCCUCAGCAUGGUACGUGCCCACUACCCCUGGUCGACUUGUCCCGGCUGGAGAGGGGGUAUCCCAAGGAGGUUGGUCCGCAGGAGGUAGAUGACCUUCGUGUCGGCCUGCUCGACUUGUUGUCGACAGUGAUCGGUGACAUAAACCUCUAUGGGACGUCAACUCCCCUCAACCAACUCGGAUCAGACAGGUCAGCUAGGGAGUUGUCGGGGGCGUCCAUUGCAGGAGAUGGGCGGUCGACGCCUGCGGUCUCGUCCAGCCAGACGCCGGUGGCCCCGACCCCUUCGACUGGACAAUAGAGCCGUGCGGGUGAUCAACCCGAGCAGUAGGCUUGUAAGGUAGUCUGAAGGAGUAGACUAGAGACCGCCCAGAGGGGUGUUUAUUGUAAACUUUGUGUAUAAAGUUUGUAAUAAAGCUUAAUUUAUCGUAACCAUGGUUUUGAGCGCUGUAAUAUUGUUUGAGUGAUGUAUCACUGAGUCAAGUUGACGGUGUUUGAGGACCUUUGUCCUUGAAAGUAAUUUGUAGUACUUGUCGAAUGUUCUGCGUAUGAAAAAAGUAUAUAGCAAAAAAGACAGGUUUAAUUAUUAUUCGUCAUAAAGGAUUUACAAAUGAAAUGUACUAGAACUUAGGGAUCGAAAUGGCGUAAUUUGUCUAUGUGCUAUGAGUUGGGCAAGCGUGUUCCGUCUAGGUACGCCAGUCUGUAAGAUGUAGGGCGUGUGACUUCGGCGACCACGAAGGGUCCUUCCCAAGGUGUAGAUAACUUGUGCAUUCCUUCUUGGCUUGUUUUCCAUUUGAGUACCAGAUCACCGACCACGAAGGAGCGGUCUUUGACGUUCCUGUUGUGGUUCCGCCUAAUCGCUGUUCGAAGGCACGAGAUUAGGCGCUUUUCUUCUGUGCAGUUGAUUUCGAGUUCUCUGGCGAGGUCGGCCGAAGACUGGUCGAAAUGUUCGACUCUUGGAGACCCAAAGACCACGUCCGAAGGGAGCACUGCUUCGGUGCCGUAAACCAUGAAGUAGGGUGAUGCACCCGUAUUGCGACUAGCCUGUGUUCGGAGACCCCAAACCACAGCUGGUAACUCUUUCAUCCAUCGUCUUGGUGCUCUGUUGUUUUCAGUAUACAACCUUUUCUUCAAAGCAUCGAUAAUCAUUCCGUUUGCUCGCUCUACUUGACCGUUGGCCCGUGGGUGGGCUACCGACACGUACUUUAUGACUAUGCUUCUGUCAUCGCAGAAGUCCCAUAAUGUAGUGCCGGUGAACUGAGUGCCCAGAUCAGUGAUUAUGCUAUUGGGGACCCCGAUUCUAUGUAUGAUUUGAUUGAGGAACUCCACGGCCUUCUCGGAAGUUGCUUUGACCAGUGGCAUGUACUCGAUCCAUUUCGAGAAUUUGUCGAUUAGUACGAAGACAAAUUUGAAAUUGUCGGGGGGCGGCUUGAAUGGUCCGAUCAUGUCGAGGCCCCAACAGGCGAACGGCCAGGACGACGGAAUCGUUUGAAUCUCGUGAGCGGGUAUGUGGGUCCGCUUGGCGAAAAACUUGCAUCCUUCAUAGUGUCGGACCAGUUUCUCGGCGUCGGCGACUGCGGUUGGCCAGUAAAAACCUGCUCGGAAAGCCUUCCCGACCAGUGUUCUGGAAGCGGCGUGGUUACCACAGGACUCGGCGUGUAUGUCAUCCAGGAGCUUAAUGCCAUCAUCUUGGGAUAUGCAUUUCAGCAAUACUUCGAAACUUGCGUUCUUAUACAUAAGUUUGCCGCCGACCAGUAUGUAAUUCUUAGAUCGCCGAAUAAAGCGCUCGUUCUCCGUUUUAUCUUGAAAUCCCGAACCGUCAGAUAGAUAUUGGAUGAAGGGAGUGCGCCAGUCGUGGCUGCUGGUUGCCGGAGUGCUAUCGUCUAUGUGCAUUGCCUCAUUGGGUUGCUUGUCGACCAGACUGAGGAGGCGGCAAGGGUAGAGCGCGCUGCCAAGCGGCUCAUUGAUGAAGUCAAGGUAGGUGGUCUUGUGUUUCGCCAAAAUAUGUAUAUAUUGUUGCUUGUUUACUUCACAAUACGUGUAAUUCUUGUAGGGCACAAUGAAAAUGGCGAAGUACCGAAAAAGGUGCUUCGACCAAAUUGAAGGGAUCGUGGCCGAGAAUAUGGCCCUGACCGCGGAGGUGGACCGCCUUCGGUCGGAGGUCGAGGAGAAGGCGGCCGAGAAGGCAGCUCAGGAAGAGCGCCUGCUCAAUCUUAAUCGGCGACUAGCCGACAAGGAUCGGGAGAAGAAAGGUAAGUCGUGCAUUCCGAGCAGUUGUAUUUAACUGCAUGGUCGGGUUUUUGACCAGCGAUUAUUUCUGCAGAUCUGUUGGAGGAGAUUAAUCGCUUCCGAGGGGAAAGGGAACAGCUCGACCAGGAGCGUGCCGGUGUGCUGGAGGCCUGGCGCCAGGCUGGUGAGGAGCUAAAAAACAAGAGUUGAGAGUUGGCUGGUAAGAGCCGUUUCGCCCUUCUUGAUUACACAACUGUUGGGUAUUUUAAACGCAAACAGAAAAAUCCGCAAGCGCACGGAUACCGAUGUAGCUUUCACCCGGGAGUAUUCCAGAGUAUCGAUUUUCCACAGAGAACGUGAGUGUACUAAUUAAGAUCCAAGAUCGCCCAAGGAUAACUAUAUAAUUAUUUUUGGUAGGAAGAGAGGAAGUUUCCUGAGAGUUCUCUAGUUGAUGUAAGAAUCAAGAAUUACUUCAAGAUUAUUUAUUUCGGGACAUCAGAACACUAACCACAGAAAGAGAUGAGAAGGGGGCUAGGAAGCUCUGACUACGGUCCUACAAACACCGAUCCGAACGAGGUGGAAUACGUCGACCGUUAGGGCUGUCACUACCCUAGGGCUACCACAACAAUCCGCAGGAUUGGGUGCAAUUCCAGGUAAUUGCAAGACUAAACACCACGUCUAAUCUAUUAAUUACUACUCUAAUGUUGCAAAGAUUAGAGCACUUGAUGCAAGCGGGAAUCCAAUAAAUAACUUGAAUGUAAAUAAAAGUAAUUAAAGAACUCAGGAUUAUGAAUGGAAGAACCUGGAGAACGAUGAAGAACGAACUAGUUGCUGCAAAAGUACAAUGUUGAGGAAGAUCCGACAGAUCCGGCUCCUCCUCCGCUCUCCUCUUCUCUCUCCCUAUUUUCUAGAUUACAACUAGAACUAGAACUAGAGGAACUAGAACUAGAACUAGAUGAACUAGAACUAGAUCUAGAUGAACUAGAGGUAGAACUAGAAGAACUAGAGGGAUCCUCUCUACUUGGAUGAAGAAUUGAAACCCUAGCUUUGAUUCUGUAGAAGAGGUAUCCUCCAGGGGCUGGUGGGGGUCUGCUUAUAUAGUCUAGGAAGAGUACCCCCAAGAAAUCUAGGAAGAGUAGCCCCCAAGAAAUCUAGGAAGAGUAGCUCCCAAGGAAUUUCCACGUUAUUCUCCACCAUCCGAUCAAACCGACCUUCAUCGUGUUAUUUUCAUCGAUCCUUAGAGUCGGUGGAGCAUAAUCCCCGAGACUCGUGCUAAUUGGCCAGCAGAGGAGGGCGGGCGCCCAGGGGGGUAGGGCUGGCGCCCUGCUUCCGGGCCCGCUCGGCCUCCCGUUCGUUCCUGUGGCUUCUGGAGUCUUCUAGAUGGUAGAAAAUUGUGCGACAUGUUAAUACCUCUAUGUAAACCCGACGUGUGGGCCUUUCCUCCAAAUUUCCUGAUAACCCCCUGCAGAAAUAGACAAACACCAAAACUCGUGGAAUUCUAUCAGAUAAAACCCUAAGUCUAGGUGUUGGUUGCAUUUGGAUCCUUUUCCAUGAUUAGUUGAUGGUUAAAUGUGAGCAUUAAGGACCGUCAACAAGCUCCCCCAAGCUUAACCUUUGCUCGUCCCUGAGCAAAGCUAACAAGAAAAUAGGGGUUACUUUUAUGCCUCUUACUACAGGGUUUUUAAGUUAUCACUAAGGUCUUAAGUGAUUGAAAAACAGAAUGAUCAAGUCAAGCACUAUGUCUCAAGUUCUUCUGUCUUACCUUUGUUCUGGAGUUUUUUUUUAUAAGUCUGCAAAAUGAAACUGAGGUAUUGCCUUCUUCUCGAAAGAUAUAUAAGUAGAGCUGUGAAAGUUUUAGCAUACUUACUUUGCAUUUUGCUAUGUCAACGCUCGGAGUAAGGGAGAGGAAUGUCAUACUCCUAGAUCAAGACCUUUGACCUUUUUGAGAAGUUUGACAUCUCUUACUGGCAUAUUGCUUAUUAGAGGGACCAUGGGCUAUCAUUUUUUUUCUUUUUUUUUCUUUUUUUUUCAGUUUCUCUUUUUUUUUUAAGUGGGCAGCAAGUACCCCUAAUUCUACUGUCGGACACAUGUCUAUUUUUUUCACUCAGGUGGGUAUCUUUGUACCCCUAAUACUACUUCGGACAUUUGUCCAUUUUUACCUCUCGUCUCACUCUCUCUUUUUUUUUCGAAUCAAAUUUUUGCAUUUUUUUUAUUUCCGAAUACUAGUAAAUAAAACUCUAGGUAUUAUGAUCUAUAUAUAUAUGGCGGGACGUUACAGGGACUCCUGGAAGACCAACUGUAUCAAAAUCUGGAAAGGAGUGGCCCCGGUUCUCGACUUGAUCAGCCCCGAGCUCCCCGAAGACCAGCCCCGCGCAUCGAGGCUGACCCCGGUCGAGAAGGCGCAACAGGCGUGGGGUUGGCUUCAGCAGUUUGUCAAGGACGCCGGGGAGUUUGCCGGGGCGCACGUCCUCAUCAUGGUACGUGCCCACUACCCCCUGGUCGACUUGUCCCGGCUGGAGAUGGGGUAUCCCAAGGAGGUUGGUCCGCAGGAGGUAGAUGACCUUCGUGUCGGUCUGCUCGACCGGUCGUCUCAACUCCCCUCAACCAACCCGGAUCAGACAGGUCAGCCAGGGAGUUGUCGAGGGCGUCCAAUGCAGGAGAUGGGCGUUCGACGCCUGCUGUCUCGACCAGCCAGACGCCGGUGGCCCCGACCCCUUCGACUAGACAGCAGAGCCGUGCGGGUGAUCAGCCCGAGCAGUAGGCUUGUAAGGUAGUCUGUAGGAGUAGACUAGAGACCGCCCAGAUGGGUGUUUAUUGUAAACUUUGUGUAUAAAGUUUGUAAUAAAGCUUAAUUUAUCAUAACCAUGGUUUUGAACGCUGUAAUAUUGUUUGAGUGAUGUAUCACUGAGUCAAGUUGACGGUCUUUGAGGACCUUUGUCCUUGAAAGUAAUUUGUAGUACUUGUCGAAUGUUCUGCGUAUGAAAAAAGUAUAUAGCAAAAAAGACAGGUUUAAUUAUUACUCUUCAUAAAGGAUUUACAAAUGAAAUGUACUAGAACUUAGGGAUAGAAACGGCGCAAUUUGUCUAUGUGCCAGGAGUUGGGCAAGCGUGUUCCGUCUGGGUACACCAGUCUGUAAGAUGUAGGGCGUGUGACUUCGGCGACCACGAAGGGUCCUUCCCAAGGUGCAGAUAACUUGUACAUUCCUUCCUAGCUUGUUUUCCAUUUGAGUACCAGAUCACCGACCACGAAGGAGCGGUCUUUGACGUUCCUGUUGUGGUACCGCCUAAUAGCUUCGAGAUACUUCGCUGUUCGAAGGCACGAGAUUAGGCGCUUUUCUUCUGUGCAGUUGAUUUCGAGUUCUCUGGCGAGGUCGGCCGAAGACUGGUCGAAAUGUUCGACUCUUGGAGACUCAAAGACCACGUCCGAAGGGAGCACUGCUUCGGUGCCGUAAACCAUGAAGUAGGGCGAUGCACCCGUGUUGCGACUAGCCUGUGUUCGGAGACCCCAAACCACAGCCGGUAACUCUUUCAUCCAUCGUCCUGGUGCUCUGUCGUUUUCAGCAUACAUCCUUUUCUUCAAAGCAUCGAUAAUCAUUCCGUUUGCUCACUCCACUUGACCGUUGGCCUGUGGGUGGGCUACCGACACGUACUUUAUGACUAUGCUUCUGUCAUCGCAGAAGUCCCAGAAUGUAGUGUCGGUGAACUGAGUGCUCAGAUCAGUGAUUAUGUUGUUGGGGACCCUGAAUCUAUGUAUGAUUUGAUUGAGGAACUCCACGGCCUUCUCAGAAGUUGCUUUGACUAGUGGCAUGUACUCAAUCCAUUUCGAGAAUUUGUCGAUUAGUACGAAGACAAAAUUGAAAUUACCGGGGGCCGGCUUGAAUGGUCCGAUCAUGUCGAGGCCCCAACAGGCGAACGGCCAGGACGACAGAAUCGUCUGAAUCUCGUGAGCGGGUACGUGGGUCCGCUUGGCGAAAAACUGGCAUCCUUCACAGUGUUGGACCAGUUUCUCGGCCUCGGCGACUGCGGUUGGCAAGUAAAAACCUGCUCGGAAAGCCUUCCCUACCAGUGUUCUGGAAGCGGCGUGGUUACCACAGGACCCGGCGUGUAUGUCAUCUAGGAGCUUGACGCCAUCAUCUUGGGAUAUGCAUUUCAGCAAUACUUCGAAACUUGCGUUUUUAUACAUAAGUUUGCCGCCGACCAGUAUGUAAUUCUUAGAUCGCCGAAUAAGGCGCUCGUUCUCCAUUUUAUCUUGAAAUCCCGAACCGUCGGAUAGAUACUGGAUGAAGGGAGUGCGCCAGUCGUGGCUGCUGGUUGCCGGAGUGCUAUCGUCUAUGUGCAUUGCCUCAUUGGGUUGCUUGUCAACUAGGUCUGUACUGACACUUGGCGUGUGAAUAUCUUGGACGAAAACACCUUGCGGGAUCUGAGCCCGGGAUGAUCCUAUCUUUGACAACGCAUCUGCUGCCUGAUUUCUGUCUCGGACGACGUGGAUGUAUUCUAUGCCAUAAAAAUUGGAUUCCCAUUUCCGGAUUUCUUUGCAGUAGAGGUCCAUCUUCUCGUGAGUUGUGUCCCAUUCCUUAUUUAACUGGUUGAUGACCAAGGCAGAGUCACCGUGGACAUAAAGACGUUUGACUCCCAAUUCGACAGCCAGCCAGAUGCCAUGCAAGCAUGCUUCGUAUUCGGUGACGUUGUUACAUGCCGGAAAGAGGAUCCUAAGGACGUAGCGGAGUUUGUCCUUGUUUGGCGAUACGAAAAGUAUUCCGGCGCCGGCGCCAUUGGUGUUUAGGGACCCGUCGAAGAACAUUGACCAGUGGUCGGAGGCGUCCGGAGGGGAGGGGCUCGUUGAGGUCCGUCCAUUCCGUGAUGAAGUCGACCAGGGCCUAGGACUUGACGGUAGUGCAACUCUAGAAAUCCAGGGAGAUUGGGCAUAAUUCCAUUGCCCAUUUUACAAUUCUGCCGUUGGCGUCCUUGUUGCGCAAAAUGUCCCCUAGAGGAAAACUGGUAGUUACUAAAACACGAUGACCGUCGAAGUAAUGCUUCAGCUUCCUUGAGGUUAUUAGGAUGGCGUAGAGUAGCUUUUGUAUCUGAGGAUACCUGGUCUUGGAUUCGUUUAGGACUUCGCUUACGAGCCUCUGGACUUUGUAGACGUGGCCUGGUUCGUCCCGCUCGAGCACCAUUGCCGUGGAGACAACCCGAUCGGUUGCUGCUAUGUAAAGGAGCAGGUCCUCGUCAGGUUGAGGUGCGGUGAGGACGGGUGGUGAGGUGAGGAAAGUUUUGAGCUGGGUGAACACAGCGUUAGCUUCCUCUGUCCAGGAGAAUUUUUCCGAUGCCUUUAGAAGUUUAAAAAAGGGAAGGCCUUUUUCCCCCAGCCUGGAGAUAAACCGGCUGAGAGCGGCCAUGCAUCCGGUGAGCUUUUCAAUGUCCUUGACGUUUUUGGGUGGUCGCAUAUCGAGCACCGCCUUAACUUUUGAAGGAUUUGGCCGUAUGCCAUCGCGGCUGACGACGUUGCCGAGCAGUAGACUAGAGGGGACCCCAAAGAUACACUUUUUGGGAUUGAGCAUCCACUUGUAUUUAUUUAGCACCUUAAAAGUGCGAUCCAAGUUGUCGAUCAGGGUGUUUGCGUCCUGGUUUUGACGACAACGUCAUCAACGUAAGCCUCGACAAGGUCGUCACGUAUCUCGUCGCGGAGGCAUUGCUGAAUAGCGCAUUGAUAGGUGGCCCCAGCGUUUUUCAGUCCAAAGGACAUAGUGGUGUAAUAGUAUGCGCCAAAAGGAGUAAUGAAGGAAGUUUCAAUCUGGUCAUCUUCCUUUAGCGAGAUCUGGUGAUAACCAGAGUAACAGUCGAGAAAAGAAAGGAGUUCGCAUCCGGCCGUUGAAUCGAGCACCUUGUCGAUACGGGGAAGACCGAAAGGAUCUUUAGGAUAGUGUUUAUUGAGAUCGGUGUAAUCAACGCACAUUCUCCAUUCAUUAUUUUUUUUUCUUACAAGAACUGGAUUGUCGAGCCAAUCGGGAUGAUACACUUCUUUAAUAAAUCUGGUUGCUAGAAGCCGUGUUAUUUCUGUCCUAAUAGCCUCCUUUUUGUCACGAGCGAACCGUCGAAGUUUCUGCUUGAUAGGUCUUGCGGUCUUCGAGACGUUUAAGGAGUGCUCGAUCAGGUUUCGUGGGACGCCGGGCAUGUCCACGGGUUUCCAUGCGAAGAUGCUUACGUUGUCCCUUAGAAACCUGAUGAGCGCGUCUUCCUAUUUGGGGUCCAAGUUGGCCCCGAUAAGAGCCGUCUUCUCGAAGCUGCGUCGACCAGCUGCACUUCCUUGUGCUCUUUGGAUUUUGAGUUUUUCCUUGGAGUCUCUUGCUCGGGUAGUUGGAGCUGAUCGGGUGGAACUUGCGUGGCUUGAGCUACGGUUUCUGCCAUGCGAAUCGAGAGAUCGAUUGCCUCGGUGAUCUUGAAGCUUUCCUCUUCGCAAGUGUAUGCAGUGUAGACGUUGCCUCUGACGGUUAGGACACCCUUCUCUGUUGGCAUCUUGAGGACCAGGUAUGAAUAGUGCGGAACUGCCAUGAACUUGGUCACCGAUGGGCGGCCUAGAAUUGCAUGAUAGGUGCCGUCGAAGUUGGCGACCACAAAGUUGACGAACUCUAUGUGGAAAUGGUCGGGUGUUCCAAACUCGACAGGCAGCGUUAUCUGCCCGAGGGGUAUUAAACUUUGACCUGGCAGGACGCUCCAGAACUGAGCAUCAUACGGCUUUAGUUGUGCCGGGGUUAUCUUGAGAGCAGGCAGGCUAUUGCGGAAAAGAAUAUCAAUGGAGCUGCCCCCGUCGACAAGCACGUGCACGAAUCUGACGCUGUUGAUGCAAGGGUCCAGGAUCAGAGGAAAAUGCCCUAGCUCUGGGAUUGCGGCCCACUGGUCCUGCCUGUUGAAGGAGAUCUCUCUAUGCGACCAGGGGGGAACUUUGGGUCAGCGAUCGGACCAUCCGUGCUGUCCACAUUGAGGCAGGCUCUCUUCAGGAGCUUUCUUUCUUGUUUGGAUUCGAUGGAAACUUUGCCUCCAAAGAUGGAAUGUACCACGACGAUGGGGCUGACAUACUGGUGCCGUGGGUCCCUAUCCUGGUCGUCGUCUUCGUCUUCGUGCCUAUCUUGUUUCCCGUUUUUCUUAACAGAGUCUCCCUGAGCGGCUCGCUGAGUAUAGAUGUUUUUUAGGACGCGACAUUCUUCCAUCGUAUGGUUGGACUUGGGAUGGAGUUGGCAUGGUCCUUUGAGUGUCUUGUUGUAGUCCUCCUGAUAAUCUCGCCGUCCAUUGGAGCGCUUGACUGUGUUCACCUCGUGGUCGUUGUCACGAGGUCGCUUGCCUCUGAAAUCGUCGCGGUUGUCGCGUCGCCUAUCCCAACCUUCUCGGUGGUCGCGGUUGUCACCGCGGCGAGGGUUCCAGUUGUCGAAGCGUCCACGACUGUCGUCUCGUCUGGGAGGCUGGUCGGCGCCUCUCGCAUCUUCUCGGAUGAGUUUUUCUACGUCAUCGGCAUCAGCGUAGUUUUUUGCCGUGGCGAGGAGCUCGGCGACCGUGGUCAGCCUUUUGCGCAGUAGCUUACUCCUUAGUGCUUCAUGGAAGCAUAGACCUUUGAUGAAGGCUAAUAUGGCCUCGUCGUGAGAAAUUUUUGGAAUCUUAAGGCGCAUAUCCGAGAAUCGUCGGAUGUAAUCGUGCAAGGGCUCGUUCUUCCUGUCCCUUAUUCUCUCGAGAUCGUAUUUGUUUCCAGGCUGCUCGCAGGUAGCGAUGAAAUUGUCAAUAAACGCCUGGCGCAGUUCUUCCCAGGAGUCAAAGGAGUCCUCGGGCAUGCCGAGGAGCCACCGAUGGCCAGCUUGGUCAAGGACGACUCGGAAGUAAUUUGUCAUGACGUGCUUGUCUCCUGUAGCUGAUCGGACUACGAUCUCGUAGAGAGUGAUCCAGUUUUUAGGGUUCUCCUUGCCAUCAUAUUUUUUAAGCUUCUCGAGCUUAAAGUUGCGGGGCCAUACGACUUGGCGAAGGUGUGAAGAGAACUGUCUUAAGCCGGGGGGUCCGUGUGCUGCAUCGUACUCAAUGCGUCGCAGGUUUUCGUGUACCGCUCUUUCCGUGCCGUGCCUGUUGAUGCGGUCGCGGGCAUCCUGUUGAUGCAAAAACGGAUCUGCAAACACACAGGGCUAAUACCUGAUUCAAACGUUAAGGCGUGCCAGCCGAUUUGACCUUACUAUCGGCAAAGGUGAUAACUCGAAUACUUUGGUCCCGACAACAGCGAUGCGCCCGGAUGUCACGGCCAAGAGGUAUUCACGCGGAACUCGAGAAUACGCCGAGCUUAAGUCGACGGACUCCUAAGAACUCGUAAAAAAAGGAAAAUAUGACGAAGUCGUCGAAAAGUAGAUGCUGGAAUAUGAGUAAAAAACUUGUGUUUGAUUGAUUGACAUAUAUCUCAUUACAAGGCCCUAGGGUCUACAUUUAUACCCUGCUCAAAGAGCUACAAUCAGACACGACUAGGACUCAAAUUCCAAAUUAAACAGAAUCCGUAUACAAAACGAAUUUAAAUAUCUAUGGAAAACAUAAAACUAUCCUCCCGUGACAAACCGGGACACCACCAUAGAUCAAUCGGCAACCUUCACGUUCUCCUUCCGAGUCAUCGGCAGACUUCUCACCAUAGCCAUCGGCAAAGACUAACGCUGACCAUCGGCACGAACGCGUCACCACUUCUGGACUUAGUCACAUUCAGCUGUCUCUUCAUCGGCAACCACCCUCAUCGGCAACUCCCCUGCAGACCAGUUACUGUUGCCCCAUCUUGCCGAUCUAUACUUUACCGAUCCCUGGGUACGUGUCCAAAAACGGUGUCAACACAUGCCCCCCAAUUUUUUAGUAUAAAAUCAUUAAUGCUCCGAAAUUCUCUGCAGUAAUGAUGUCUUUCCGCAAUUAAUUCUCUCAAUUUGGUAACCGACCGUUGAAGUUGAACAACCCUGGCCCGAUUCUUCAGCAGAUUCCUCGAAUUCCUCAACCUCCCGAACUGGACAUCUCCACUUUAUUCGCCCAUCGGCAAUAUUACCGUUAGAGGGAGCUGCCGAUGGACCGACCAGGAGAUCUUGCACAGUGAAAUAUCUCCAAAACCACAACCGCCUGCUGUCAAAUCACCUGUGCAAUCCCUUGAUUAUCGUGCGAACAAUUACCAUAUCCAUCUGAACACCCUCGGAUUUUACGGAUGCGGCAAAGAGAUAAGUUAGAUUUGCCCCUGCCCGUUUUGUCCUAUAAAUACUUCCUUCUCGGGUACUCCUUCUCCAUCUUGUCAUUCUAUAGCCCAAAACUUACUUUCACGGUGGCGGCACCACCCGAGGUUUCCAAGAUCUCCAACGAAGGCCUUUCUCCACCAACCCCAAAGUCUUCGAUCAUCUUCCUUGCGAGGAAAUGGCCAUCAACUUCGCUGUUCCUGAGGUCAGUUCACCACCUUGUCUCUUGUACUUUUACCAUAUCCAUGUUCAUCUGCAAUUCAUCUUACUGAACAUUCCUCUCCUUUUUCCUUUGUUCUUCUUUUUAUCCUUAAAAACUUCUAGGAUUUGUCCAAUAAGAUUGUCAUCCCUACCGAUCAACCACACCUCCAAUGUCUCGGCCCGCUAGGGAACCCAGAUCCCACCGAUCUGAUAAACGCAGAGACAAACAGAAUUCCUUUUAGAGCCGAAAAUUUUUCUCUAGGUCUAUGGAAAGAUGCCUUCCGUUCCUGGCCCAGUCCUACCAAGGGAUGGAAGGAUUGGUUCUUGAGAGUCAGCCAUUCAAAUGAAGUUCAAUGGGGCGAGCGAAAACUGGACCAGUGCAUUAGGCCGUCUCUUGCCGAUAUGGAUAGGAAUGAAUCACUGUUGAUUGCUGCAUCAUAUUUCUGGUCAGACACACUUAAUGCUUUUGUUUUCGGCCAUGGCCCUGCUUCUCCCACUCUUGCCGAUGUGCUUAUGCUCACCGGCUUAGAUGUAUCCACUGCCGGUAGUAGUCACAUAUUUGACUCCAAACCUAGCGCUAAGGUGGAAACUCGCUCUAUCGGCGGUUGGUCUGGGUACAUUCAGAAGUACCGUAGAACAGGGUCUGUCAACAUAAAGGAACAGACCACCUUCGUGAACAUGUGGUUGGACAAAUUUGUAUUCUGCGGUCGAUCGGCAGGACCAACCUCUGUCUACCUAUCGGCAGCAGAGAGAUUAGCUAAUGGUGGCCGAUUUCCCCUCGGCCGAUACCUGCUUGGCUCUGCCUAUCAUCUUCUCCACCAAGUAGCCAAGAAACUUUUGCUCGGCCAACCCAUCGGCAACUUAGGGGGCCCUUGGUGGUUCAUCAACAUGUGGCUUAGUCUCCAUAUGCACAAACGCCUGGAAUUCGACCUCUUUGCACAGCGUUUCCCCAGGGAUAUAGUAGAGGAUCAUGAGUUAGAUGAAGAAGAAUCGGCAACCCGUCCUCCCCUAAACUAUGGUGAAGCUGUCAUAGUCUUGCCUGGUACUGGAGGCAAUGGAGAUCAAGUCAGCCGAUUCUUUCAGACUCUUUAUGAGGGUCUGACCAAAGAACAACGAGCAUGGAUGCCUUAUGAAGAUCCAGACACCAGAUUUCCUCUGACCUUUCACCCCUUCGACGAUGCUCUCAAUAAAGACCAUGAUGUGAUGAUGGCAAUUAUCACUCCAAGAGCCAUACCAGUAAACUUCUUCGGCAGUGGGAAAGUCUCCAACCAGACCUAUGAAUUCUACAACCCAUCGGCACUAGCCCGUCAACUAGCUUUCGGUCAGCUGCCAAUUGCACUUUGUUAUGCCGAUGUGAUAAAACCCAGGGAAACCAUUACUAGUCUUCUCGAGUGGACCAGAAUAGCUCAACUGCCACCAAACGACGAUACAAAUGCCGAUCUAUCAGAUUGGAUCCUGGCCCUCUUCAUCACUCAGGCAUACAAACAAUGGUGGGAAGAAUGGAAAGAGCACCUGUUUUGCAGAUCGGCUCUUACGUACCGUGGCAUGAUCGACCCUCAAUACAAAGUCCCCGAUAACACUGUAAGUACUUCUGAACCGAUGUUUCAAUCCUUUCAUUUUCACUUUCCAUCGGUAUCUUAUUUCCUUGUUAUAUGCAGGUCGAUGACACACCCCCAUUGGUCAGUAGGAGUGGCAAGCCAAUUGAGCUCCUUCCAUCGGGCCCGAUCUCUUUGAUCGGCAACAACGCUCCAACCCUGGCUGCCAUAAUGCAUCGGGGUGUGCGUCUCAAGAAAGUUACCACCAAGCGGGCGAAGAUAUCCCCAUCAGUAGCUGCCUCUACCCUAGCACAAGCCUUCAAGGUAAAUUUUCGAGUUCUUAUACCGAUUCCAUUCUCAUACUUAUUACACUUGUACCCACAAUCUUCUCACUGUUGUACCAGCACACCGGUACAUCGGCAAAGACCAGAAGUACGACUACCGAUGCCCCCCAGUCCAGUCAACCGAAGAGAAAAGGUUCCAAGAGUACCAGAUUACAAGCAAAGCGCCAAAGAACAGUAACGCCUUCUCCUCCCCCAGUAUCUCCGAUUCCAGUAGAAUCAUCCCCUUCUCCUCCAGAAGCCCAGAUACAACCAGCACCGUCUCUUCUUCAAUCACAAGAAGAAAUCCAAACAGAAGAACUUCAGCCAGAAGAACCUCAACCAGAAGUACCUCAGCCAGAAGAAACAUCGGCUGAUGUACGCGAGCAGACUGCCGAUCCAGCAAGCUUAAUCAUAGCAUCGGUAGUUUCCUCGAUUCAGACUAGUACUGCAGCUUUCCAAGGUAACAUACUCUUUAUUUAUUGCCGAUGAACCUACUUUUUUCCAAUUUGUUAAUAACUUCUGUCAAUCUUGCAGCUGACAUAGUUUCAUCGGCAAUCCCAGCCGAUCAGCCUGUGGUUCCAUCGGCUUCAACUAGCCAAAGGCGAGAGAUAGAUCUGAAGCAAGUAAGUUACCCUGUUGACACAGUUUUUGGCUCACUGAUAAUAUGUGCAAUAUUUGCUUUAAAUAAAUGUAAAUAGUAUAUAUGGCCAAAUUCCAUGUAAAUAAGAAACAAAUAACAAGAAGUGAUAUUAUCUAUGAAGUGUAGUACAUUAAAAAAAAAUGCAUGAGUGGACGACGCGUGCAAGCGUAUAUAUUCUUCACAUAUUGUAUACCAUGCAUGUACUCGUGAAAAAAAAAAGAUAUUUUGCGUUUUGGUGCUCAUAAGUGACCUGCUAAGUCCAUAACGUGGUGGUUAACACAAUGGAAAAAGUAAAAAAAUAAAUAAAUAAAAGGAAAUGAUAAAACAAAUUAAAAGCAAACACAUAUAUGCAUAUACGUUUGCUAGUUACGGCAGCAAGUACACUGUACAUAGGCGUGUACUUAUGGUUAUGUGUAGGCAAGAAAAUAAAUUAUUUUUUAUUUUUAUGAACAAAAAAUGGAUCACAUGUUAGAUAUACCUGUGCGCGCUUAGUAGAUUCAAACAAAGUCAAGGCACGGCCAUAUCCAGUCCGCCGCCAUGACCAUGUCUACGUACAUAACUCCCUUGGACUGCACGAUCCUACAUGCCGCGUACAUGGUGAUUCAAAAUCAAAUCAAAUUGCCGCUUAAGCACUCUGGAUUAAGGGAGAAAAUCAAAUGAAAGGAGCGCCAAAUCUCUGGGCCAACUGCUGGUCGCUCCUCUCUAUAAAUAGCAGGUCACGGCCAUCGUUCAGACCCCCUGCUCUCCUGAUUGAACGUGCCGCCAGGCUGCUGCUGCAUUGCCUCGCUGAAACAAACUGCUGCCCAUCUGCCGCAGCCCUCACCAUCAACAAAUCUGAGCACUCGUCCAGUCUCUGCCAAAAUCAGUUCUCCACAAACAACUCCAAAGCAAAUACCAGAGGGAGGAGAGCAACAUCAUCCAAGAAAAGAUCGCUCGGCAGGAACUUGUUGCCGCCGGUGGAGUAUCGCUGCAAGGUGAGAUGCUUACAGGAGCAACCAGCUAAUACUUCCGAUCUCCCGUCUCUCUUCGCUUUCUGUUCUUCGACUACUGCAUCGACAAGCUUCAUCGGCAACUCGGCGGUUUUUGUUAAAUGGCCAGCCCAUGCCGCUGCAGAUGAGCAGCGUGGAGGGGACUGACCCCAGUAAAAGAUUAAAGGGACAAACAAGGUUGGCGCCCCGCGCCUGAGUUUGAUCUCUGGUAAAAGAUCGUUCGGCAGUGCUACGACCAUGCUAUGCACAUGGGCUGAGCCAUGUAAAAGGUCAACCAGCAGUGCCACGACGCGCUAUGUGCAUGGGCUUUGUGCCCCGGUGAAGGUGUAAAAAUGCAGCAAAUAUACCGUGGUAAAAUUCGGGUUUGGAUGCGAUUUGGCUCCAUCCCGCGGUUAAAAUUUGGUUGGACGCGAUCUUGGCUCCAAUCCAGUUAAAGGUUCAUAAUACAAAAUUAGUGGACGCGCUUUGGCUCCACCUGGUUUAUGAUAAAAUUGGUAUGGACGCGAUUUGGCUCCAUAUCCAAAUAAGUCUGCAUAUGUUUUGGCCAUGACCCCGCCGGCCUAUUUCGGUACUAUGCAUCAAAAGAAAAUAAACAAAUUGCGUGCUACGGCCAUAAAAGAAGUUCGUGUGCUAAGAUAUGUUAAAUCAAAGAAAUAGUCAUUUGUGCAUUAGAAACUAUGUCAAAAGAGAAGUUAGUUAUGUAUUGCUUAUAGGGAUCUUCAGCCAUGCAUAUACAGUACACCGGGAACCCUGCUAGAUGUUAGACAACUUCCGGCAUAAAACUAAUCACCAUUUCUAUGUUAAUUAUUUUAAAUAAAAUAAAGACCAGGUGCAUUGCAUGGUUCAUCUCCAAACAAACCAUUUUGCAACUAAAAAAUUCCGAUCCAGUAUACUGCACGGCUAGCACCUGCUCGCACAUAAUAAAUAUAUCCAUAGCACCAUAUUCUAGCCAUUAGUAUGUAAAUAGAAGAGUAUAGUUAAAACAAAAGAAAGUAUACUCUGCAUGCAUAAAAAAAUACAUCGGUUCACCACAUACUGCUUAAUUACACAUUAAAUAAAUUUAUGUCACAUUAUGGCUAGACUACAUAAAUAAAUUAGACUAAAACGAUUACAUCAUACCAAAUUCUCACCAUGAACGCCUAAGCUACUUAAUCUCUUGUGGCACAGGGACUGAAAUAAUCAAAAUGUCAUGAACAUUCAUAUAGACGUGGCUAAGUCAAAUAAGCUUAGUCAUAUUUAUCAUAAUUUCCAAACCACAUACAUGACCAGCCUAGGCCUCCCAAAUACCAUGCAAAAUGGGUAAAUUAAAUAUUGCAUGUUAAGUUGUUAGAACAGGGCAAGUUAAAUUAAAUCGGAUCAUAUAGCAUAGGACAUGCAAAUCCUUAGCUAAAAAUCGUACUAUGAGUACCCAUACUAACUUUGAUUAAAAUAAAUUAAUUGCCUACACUGACUUAGUCUGGCGCCGCAACAUAUCGCCCCAAGUUAGGACAAAAUAAAUAAUACCUUGUCUUAGCUUAAAUGAAACAUUGCAUUACACGUCGAGUGCAUCUGCAUAUCUCGAAACAUGCUAAAUUAUGAUCUUAAAUGAUCCAAAAGACUAUGUCAAAUGUAGUCUCUAAAGUAAGUUACAUGCAUGCAUACAUAAUAAAAUACACCAAAUAAAUAUUUACCACAUAAAUAAAUUAACAUCCCUUCGUCGGCGUACAUAUAUGUCAAAAUUCAUGUAACUCAAUGCAUAUAUGUCCAAAUAAUUAAACAAAGGGCCAUAUGCAGAGUUAUUAAUAUUUAACCAUAUUAUGUCGUAAAUAAAUAAUAUGACAUUCUCAAAAGUUUGCAUGGAUCAAAUAUGCAUGUUGUCAUCACGGGUUGCUAAGAAGCUAAACAUGCUAGCGACCAAUCAUAAAAGGAAUAUAUAUUACCUGCUCAACAAAUAAAGUAUCAUGCUCAAAAGAAAUGAUGAAUAUCAAGUUCAAGUUUAUGCCAGGCCUAUGCAUGCAUCCAUCCGCGACUACAGGACUGAAGAUUUUAUUUUCUUUUGUAGUUUGUAAUAGCAAGCCAUAUGAUAUAAUCGUUCUUCUUCAUGUACUCAUGUUGGAACUCUUAAUCAGGGGUGUUCUCUUCGGAGAUGUAAUUAACAUAAUUUUUAUAUAAAUAUAAGAAUUAUGGAAGUAUGGACUCGCAAUACCUGUUCUUUUCAUAUUGUCCCAUUUAAAUUUAUAUUUGUCUCUGCUGACGCGGAGGCGGGUCAUAGCCGCCCGUUUCCCCGCCUUCAUACCCGAUCUUCAUUUUUAUUGCUAUCAGUACUAGAUCAUGAAAUAACUCGUUUUAUCUCCUUUUUCAGGAACAGGAUUCUCCUGACAGCCUGUUCUCUUUCGCUAUCGAGAUCUCUGAGGAUGAAGGCGAGGAAGCAAGUUCUUCUCGAGCAGUCGGAAUCUCAUCGGCAGAGAUUAGAACAAAGCUGGAGGACCUGUCAGUUCUUCUUCAUCAAGAUACAGCGCAAUUGGUCGAUGAUUCUGACCCAGCCAAAGCUCUGUUCAAAGCUCUCAGAGGACAAAUCCCUACCGAUGCCGAAGAGAUUCUUUUCCAGGCUGCACACUUAGAGAGUCGCCAGCUGUAGUACCAAAAGGUUGCUCAACGCCUUGCCGAUAGAGCUGCUCACGCUCAGCUCUCAGAGGAGAUGAUGAAAGUGUAGCUCCUUGCCGAUGAGAAGCAUAAGAGCAUCGGCACUCUGAAGUCAUCAGGAGAUGCGCUGAAACAAAAGAUCUCUGAUCUAUCAGCGAAGAGAAACGCCCUGUUGGCAGAACUCAAACAGGUAGAAGAAGCUCUAUCUCAAGCCCAACAGGAAGAAAGCCAGCUGCCUGAUAUGAUCAAGACUCUUGAACAAGAACGGAAUACUCAGGCUCGUAAAGCACUGCAAAUGAAGAAGAAGCUGAAACCGGUGGAAGGUUCUGCCGAUGAAGACAUCAAAGAGAUAGAAGAGGCCAACCAAAUCCGCCUACACGCUAUAUCGACGAUCCAGGCUUUGUUGAAUGUAUGAAUUCUCCAUCGGCAGCGUGCCCUGCUCUUUUCUUUUGAACACUCCUGAUUAUUUUGGUCUAGCCGAUAGGACUGUUAUCGGCACCUUUUUAAAACACUAAGUCCGGCCCCAGACACAAUUUAAUCCAGCCGAUAGGAAUGUUAUCGGCACUUAAACUUUUAUGCAUCGACCCAUAUGCUCGAGUAAUAUUUCUUUAGAUAUUUGCCAUUUAAUGCCCUAGGAUAUUCAACUCCUUCGAGAGUUUCUAAGAUAUAGGCAUUGCCAGGAGCAGAUCGAUUUAUCCGAUAGGGACCCUCCCAAUUGGGAGACCACUUCCCAAAUUUUGAACUUUUAGUCCCGAUCGGUAAGACUAGCUUCCAUACUAAGUCUCCAUCGGCAAACUCCUUAGCCUUCACCUUCUUAUCAUACCAUCUGGCAACUCUCUUCUUAUUCUCUUCUAUACUCAUCAAAGCCCUUAGCCGAUGCCCUGCUAGAUCAUCCAACUCGUCUGUAAUCAAAGUAGUAUAAUCAUCGGCAGUCAAUUGAUCUUGAAAAGAUAGUCGCCUAGACCCAGUCUUAAUUUCCCAAGGUAACACCGCAUCAUGUCCAUACACCAACUGAUAAGGUGAAACUUUGGUCGACCCAUGACAAGCCAUCCGAUAUGACCAUAAAGCUUCAUUCAACAAUGUAUGCCACCUCCUAGGAUUUUCUUCAAUCUUUCGUUUAAUAUGCUUGAUAAUUUCUUUGUUAGAUGCUUCGGCCUGCCCAUUAGCUUGAGCAUAAUAAGGAGAAUAAUUUAAUACUUUAAUUCCCAUACCGAUUGCAAACUCAUCAAACUCCCCUGAUGUAAACAUAGUACCCUGAUCGGUAGUAAUCGUUUGAGGAAUUCCAAAUCGGUAAAUAAUAUGCUCUUUCACAAAAUCAAUCAUAUUGGCCGAUAUAACUUUCUUCAAAGGAAUAGCUUCAAUCCACUUAGUGAAAUAAUCGGUGGCGACCAAGAUGAAUUUAUGUCCUUUACUUGAUGGUGGGUAAAUUUGGCCAAUUAGAUCAAUAGCCCAUCCCCGGAAUGGCCAAGGUUUAAUAAUGGGAUUCAUGGCCAAUGCGGGUGCCCUUUGAACAUUGCCAAACUUCUGACAUCCCUGACACCCUUUGAAAUAUUUAAAACAAUCCUCAAGUAUAGUCGGCCAAUAAUACCCAUUUCUUCUGAUCAUCCACUUCAUCUUAAAUGCCGACUGGUGUGCUCCACACACUCCUUCAUGGAUCUCUCCCAUUAAACUUUUAGCCUCAUCAUCACCUAAGCACCUAAGAAGAAUCCCAUCAAUGGUUCGAUAAUAUAAUUCAUCUUCAAGGAGCACAUACUUGGUGGCUUGAAACCGAACCCGUCUCUCAACUUUUUUGGAUGGAUCCUUUAAAUAAUCAAUGAUUUUUUUUCUCCAAUCAUCGGCACUGAUUGCCGAUAUUGCGUUUAACAUGGGCUGAUAUCCUGAGGCAUGCUGAGCCAACCGAUUGGCCUCUUCAUUAUGCAACCGAGGAACAUGCUCUAACCGGAAAUCUUUGAAUUCCUUUAAUAAUUGCAUACUCCUUUCGUGAUAAGUUAUCAGGACUUCGCUUCGGCAUUCAUAGCUUCCAGCCAAUUGAUUUAUAACCAGCAUAGAAUCCCCGAAGAUUUCAACAGCAUCAUCAUGAACUUCUCUUAGUAAUUCCAACCCCUUUAUCAAAGCUUGAUACUCAGCUUGAUUAUUCGUUGAUGUGGCAACAAUCGGCAAGGAGAACUCAUACUUCCUUCCCCGAGGGGAAAUUAACACUAUGCCGAUCCCUGCUCCCCGGUCACACGUGGAUCCAUCAAAGAAGAGCGUCCAAGGUACGAUUUCUAGAGUCUCCACUGUACCGCAAUGUUGAGUUACGAAAUCGGCCAUAAUCUGUCCCUUAACCGCUUUAGCCGAUUCGUAACGCAAAUCAAAUUCCGACAGUGCCAAAAUCCAUUUACCGAUCCUGCCACUCAUAAUCGGCAUAGACAGCAUAUAUCAUACCACGUCAUCUUUGCAUAUAAUAGUGCAUUCAGCCGAUAACAAAUAAUGUCUCAACUUAAUACAUGAGAAAUAAAGACACAAACAUAACUUUUCAAUGGCCGAAUACCUGGUCUCAGCAUCAAUCAAUCUCCUGCUUAAAUAAUAAAUCACACGUUCAUUCCCUUCAAAUUCUUGAAUUAAAGCCGAACCGAUGACCAUACCAUCAGUAGAUAAAUAUAAUCUGAAGGGCUUUCCUUGCUGAGGUGGAAUCAGAACCGGAGGAUUUACCAAAUAAUUCUUGAUUUCAUCUAAAGCCAACUGUUGCUCUUUUCCCCAUACGAACUCUUGAUCGACUUUCAAUUUGAGUAAAGGACUGAAAGCACGAAUCUUACCGGACAAGUUAGAUAUAAAUCUUCUGAUAAAAUUUACCUUGCCGAUCAAGGACUGGAGCUCAGUUUUGUUGGUAGGAGCAACUAUUUUGCUGAUAGCAUCAAUGGAUCUCCUACUAAUUUCAAUCCCCCUUUGAUGCACCAUGAAACCAAGAAAUUUCCCUGCUGAUACACCAAAUGCACACUUAUUAGGGUUCAUCUUUAAACCAUGCUUCCUUGUGCAUUGCAACACCUUUCGCAAAUCGACAAGAUGCUUUGCGAAAUCUCCAGACUUAACAACCACAUCAUCAAUAUAAAUUUCCACCAGCUUGCCGAUGAAAUCAUGAAAGAUAAAAUUCAUAGCCCUUUGAUAAGUAGCACCGGCAUUUUUCAAACCAAAGGUCAUGACUAUCCAUUGAAACAACCCAACAUGACCAGGACAUCUAAAUGCAGUCUUUGGAAUAUCUUCUUCAGCCAUGAAUAUUUGAUUGUAUCCUGCAUUGCCAUCCAUAAAGCUGAUGAUCCGAUGCCCAGCCGCAGCAUCAACUAGCAGAUCGGCAACCGGCAUUGGGUAGCGAUCCAUCGGUGUAGCUUUAUUAAGAUUCCUGAAAUCAAUGCAAACCCAAAGUUUCCAUUUUUCUUGUAUACUGGAACAACAUUGGAAAUCCACUCGGCAUACCGACACUGCCGAAUAAAUUUAGCUUCAAUAAGUUUGGUUAUUUCGGCCUUAAUAUCAGGAAGAAUAUUAGGAUUACAUCUGCGAGCAGGCUAUUGAUGUGGCCGAAAUCCAGACUUGAUGGGUAACUGAAGUUCAACAACCGAUCGGUCCAAACCAGGCAUCUCAGUAUAAUCCCAAGCAAAGCAAUCUUUAUAUUCUUUUAACAAAUCGGUUAACUGCUGCUUACACUCAGAAUUUAACUUAGCACUAAUAAAAGCAGGUCUAGGUUAAUCACCACUACCUAUAUCUACUUCUACCAACUCAUCGGCUAAUGUGAAUCCCUGGCCUACUUUUCCAUCAUCGGCGAACCUAUCCAUUAGAACUCCUCGUCAGAACCGACUGCUUGGAUCGGUGGAAUUUCAUAAUCGGCAACUUUGAGGAAAUCCUUCUCCCAAAUCUCUCCUGAUAUACACCUGGUUCUUUCAUAAGUGUCUGCUUCUGCCGAUGCAAUGACAUAAGAAGAAUCUCCCGGGACAAUCUCAAUCUUGUCACCUACCCACUGAACCAAACAUUGGUGCAUCGUAGACGGGAUGCAACAAUUGGCAUGAAUCCAAUCUCUCCCUAGCAGCAGAUUGUAGGCACCUUUUCCACUGAUCACAAAGAAGGUUGUCGGCAAGGUUUUGCUGUCGAUGGUCAACUCGACGCAAAUUGCCCCCUUAACCGGAGACACAUUUCCUUCAAAGUCUUUUAGCAUCAUAUCGGUCUUGGUCAAAUCCUGAUCUCCUUUUCCAAGCUUCCGAUAGACUACAUACGGCAUGAUGUUGAUAGCAGCUCUACCAUCAAUUAAUAUCUUGGUCAUUGGCUGACCAUCAACUCUCCCUUUGACAAACAGAGCUUUAAGAUGCUGCCUUUCAUUGUCGGCAGGCUUUUCGAAGAUAGCUGUCAUCGGAUCCAGAGCCAAGUGAGCUAUCUGGUCAGAAAACUCCAACUCCUCAUCAUCGCUAGACGGCACAAGGAAUUCCAUCGGCAACAUAAAUACCAUGUUAACAUCUGCCGAUGGCCCUUUCCCCUUAGGACCUGAUUGUUGCUGAUCUCCAGACUGGCCAAGGUUCUCAACCUUGCUUAGUUCUUCCCACCUUUCGCGUUGCAGCCUCCUUUUCUGUGUCUUAGUCAACCCCUCUGGACACCAUGGGGGAAGUGGUGACUGCCUUGCCGAUGGACGACGAUGUUCCCUUGACUCCAUCCGAUGAGUAUUAGCAUCCCUACAAAAUAUGAACUCAUCUGGAACUCGUGCAUUAGCCAUCUCCUCAAGCUCUUCCUGAUUCCUGGGAAAAUAUUCAACAUGAUCACCAAGCCUAUCGUGCACACUGAGUCUGCCCCCCAGCCGAUCAUGAACGGACGCUCUCCCCCUAAUCGGCCCAUUAAAUCGCCGAUCAUCAUCGUGAUAGCGUCGAUCGGAUCUGUCAUACCGAUCAUAACCAUUGCAUUCAGGGCUAUCUCUAACAGUGGGCAACUUGAUGUUCUGCUCCCAGCAAUGGAUAAAGAACGGGCAGUUCCAGUGAUCCUUGUGUCGAUUCCACUCUUGACGGCGUCUUUCUUCUUCGCGACGAUAAUCUUCUUGCUGACGCCGAUACCGAUCCUCACGCUGCUGCCAAGUCUCCCGAGGCCUUCUAUGAGUUAUCAUAAUACUAGAUCGGGGAGGCCUUCUUGAGUUAGUUCCCUCUAGGAUCAAGCCUUUUCCUUUGGCAUCGGCAGCAGUAAUUUGAUGCUGAGGAUCUACCGAUGCAUUCCUCUCAGCUGCUUCCAAUGUCAAGACCUUGGUUUUUCCCUUAGCAUCCAAUAUAUUUGUUGGGAAAGGAUGUUGAUCGAUCUUCAUCGGUUUCUGAGCUUUGGAACUAUCAAAUUUGAUUCUGCCAGAUUCAAUAGCCGAUUGCAGCUGUUGUCUAAAAACUUUGCACUCCUUGGUGUUGUGAGAGGUUGCAUUAUGCCACUUGCAGUAUUUCAUCUUCUUCAACUCUUCAGCCGAUGGGAUUACAUGAUUGGGUGACAAUUUGAUUUGACCUUCUUGAAGUAGAAAGUCAAAUAUCCUGUCGGCUUUGGUGAUAUCAAAUGCGAACUUCUCUGGCUCUUUAUGCCCAAAAGGGCAAGACAUCGGCUUCUUAUUCUUCACCCACUCUGCCAAGCCGAUGACUGGCUCUUCAUUAGAAUCUGAGCUCGCUGCCUCAUCAACAAAUGACACCUUUUUGUUCCAAGCUCUCUUAGGUUCAAAAGGCUUAAUAUCCUAGUCGGAAAUCCUCUGGACCAAGUGACACAGGCUCUCGAACUCUUGAGAAGCAUAUUUGUCCCUGAUAUGUGGCAACAAACCCUAGGAAGCCAAAUCGGCUAGCUGCCGAUCGUCCAAAACCAGACUAUAGCAUUUAGUCUUGACUUCCCGCAACCUCUGCACAAAACUUUCAACCGAUUCAUCAUUACGCUGUUUCAAUCUGACCAAAUCGGUAAUUUUCUUCUCAUGGACUCCAGAAAAGAAGUACUUGUGGAACUGCUUCUCCAGAUCGGCCCAAGUAAUCACUGAAUUAGGAGGCAAUGAUAUAAACCAAGUGAAGGCCGAUCCAGAUAAAGAUGAUGAAAACAGUCGAACCCUCAAUUCAUCCCUGUUAGCAGCUUCCCCACAUUGGAUGAUAAACCUGUUGACAUGCUCCAUAGUCGAUGUAUCAUCCUGUCCAGAAAACUUAGUGAAAUCUGGCACUUUGUACCGAUUUGGAAGUGGAAUUAAAUCAUAUGUAGGAGGAUACGGUGUCCGAUAAGAGUAAGUGUUGACUUUGGGUUUUAUCCCAAAUUGGUCCCUCAUUACUUCAGCAAUCUUAUCAGCCCAAUAGGCAUCGGCAUCUUGCCGAUGAGGUGGUUGUAGAUCUGGCGCCUGCUGAUACACUUCCACGUGUUGCUGAGGCGCACGAUCUGCAUGGAACAUGGGGUUGAUCGUCUGACCACCAAACUGUUGACCAAGAUUCAUCGGCUGGUUGGGCAUUCCUUGAUUCUGAAACCUAGGUUGGAUUUGACCUUGCUGAAACCCUGGAGCUUGAUGACUCUGCUGAGGCAUCUGUGGGAAAACAAAUUGCCCAGGUGAAAGUGCAUUUGCCCCCUAUGUGGGUUUUGGUGUAUUGAUGACAUCCAAUUUAGGGACUAAUGCGUUGUAUUUGAGAUUUGCUACAGCUACUAGUCUUAUGAAAGAUGCAAAGGUUCAACCUAAGAUGAAAUGGUAUCCCCCAAUCUUCGUUCGUGAGAAAGGCGUUGGAUUCAAUCUAGAGCUUAUUCGUUUUUAUGUUAACUUGGGGAUAGGUAUGCCAUACUAUCAAGAGGGAUUCAAAGGUUGUUGGUUUGGGGAAGAUAGAGUGCUCAACUCUUUCAACUAAAUCUUUUUAGAGACACUCUAGCUCCUCUCUUGCACUUAGGAUUAACUUCUGUGACUUCUGGUGUCGGAAGUCCCGACGCGGGUCGGAACUCCCGACGUGCUGCGCGAGAACUGUGAGCGUCGGAAGUCCCGACGUGAGUCGGAAGUCCCGACGUUGAGUUCUGCGCGCGCACGCGUCGGAAGUCCCGACAAGCGUCGGAAGUCCCGACGCCAGGCCUGUCUCGCGCAAGUGCCAGCAGUUCCGGCCAGCGUCAGCAGUACUGACCUGUCAGAAGUUCCGACGCAUGUCGGAAGUUCCGACACUGACUUCCUGCGCUGACCUCGGCUGCCUGCUCAACAGUGUUUCCCAGUGAGUGUCGGAAGUCCCGACACUAUGUCGGAACUUCCGACGUAGAUCUGAGCAGACUUUUCUCCUAGUAGUAUAAAUAGCUUCCUCUGUGUUUCUAACCGUUACCCACUCAUUCUUUGCGACCAACCCUCAGACUAAACAGCUCCCAAGCACCCAAGACUCCUCUCUCCUCCUCCUCUUUGCUCCUAACUUCAAUUCACCUUAGAUUUGGAGUGUUUGGAGAGUGGAUAAGUGAGAGCAACGCCUUGAGAAGUUUGAGCACUUGAUCUCUUCAUCAAGCCGGCAGGUUUUGAGUUUAUUACUCUUGGGUUCUUGGAACCCUAGCCGGCUAGGCGUCGUCCAAGAGCUUCCAUCUUGUGGAAGAGCCUUGGAAAGUUUGUAUCACCCCGUUUUUCUUAGUGGAAAGCUCAAGUGACCUUUGUGGUUACUUUGAGGGUGGCAAGGAGGUGAAAGAGACUCCGACCUUAGUGGUCACCUCAACAACGAGGACGUAGGAACUCCUAAGUGGGGUUGCCGAACCUCGGGUUAAUUCUUGUGUCUCUUGUGGUUACUUUUCUUAAGUUCUACUUGUAUUACUUGUAUUUGCUUGUGCCUCUACCUCCUUUUUAGGGUUUGGUCUCGAUCUACGAUUUGGGGAACUCUUGGUGUCAAGGAAGGCUCUCAACAUCCUCUUCUAACCACUAGAGAGUGGUGUUGUAAGUUGUGGAUUUCACAAAGUUCAUUUAAGCUCUUGUAGUUCAUUUCCCGUAGGUGUCGGAACUGCUGAUAGUUUGCGUUGGAGCUUCUGACAACGUCGGAAGUUCAGACCCAAACUGUCGGGACUUCGGACAGUUGCUGACAAGUGACUUUGAGUUUUGUGUAGAAUUUUUAGAUACGCCUUUUCACCCCCCCUCUAGGCAUUGUUUAGAUCCUUUCAAUGGGUAUCAGAGCAAGGUCUUCUUUUAGCACUUUACCGUGUGAGAAGAAACAAUGUCGGAAACCGAAAAGACACAAGAGUUGGCUAAGGAAAUAGCCAAAGAACUGUUGGCAGCUCAAUCAAAGCUUUUUCAAGAUGAAAUGAAGAAAAUGCAAGAUGAGAUGACAAAGUUAAAAGAAGAGCUGAGCAAGAAAGUUGAAGAUGCGAUAGGUAGUAGAAAAUCUGAUGAGGGACCUAGUGGGCACAAAGACAAUGAUAAUGAAAGUGAAGUUGGUGGUAAAGAAGAAGGUCACCCAAAAGGAGUCUACUCCAACAUGAACUUUGAUUAUUCUCAGCUUAUCAAGGCUUCACAUCAUGCCCCAUCUAUCAACCUAGGGAAACCUCCUCACUUUGAUGGAACUAGAUAUCCCGAUUGGGCCUACAAAAUGAAGAUGCACCUCAUUGCUGCAAAUCUUUGGGAAGUGGUAGAUGUUGGUGUAACAUUUCCCACUGAAGAUAGAGAGAUCACUCCGGAGGAAGCUCACAUCUUUCGUCAAAAUGCACAAGCUGUGGCUAUUUUAGUUUCAAGUUUGGCUCCAGAUGAAUUCAACAAAGUGAAUGGAAGAGAAGUUGCCAAGGAUAUUUGGGAAGUGUUGAAAACAGCAUUUGAAGGUGACAAGAGUGUGAGAAAGGGUAACAUUGAGUUACUUCAUGGUGAGUUGGAAAGAUUUGUUUUUCUAAAAGGUGAAUCCACUCAAGCUAUGUUUGAUAGGAUGAUGUCUUUGGUCAACCGGAUAAGAUCUAUUGGAAGCACUGAAUGGGAUGAAAACAAGGUUGCAAGAAAGAUCUUAAGAACCUAUAGAGCAAAGAACAACAUGCUAGCGUCAGUGAUUAUGGAAAGGCCCGACUAUGAUUGCAUGACUCCUCAAGAAGUUCUAGCCAAGCUCAAGCAUCAUGAGUGCCUUGAUCAAGAUGCUAUCAAUGCACAUAGUCAAAAUCCUAGUGCAAUGGGAUAUAACAAGAAUGUAGCUCUAAAGGUAGAGCAAGGACAUGAACACCACAAGUCAUGUUAAGAAAAGAAGAAAGUGAAGCAGGAUUCAUCAAGUGGUGAUGAAGAUUCUGAUCAAGAAGUUGCUUUCAUCAUUAGAAAUCUCAGAAAGUUUAUGAAGAAGAAGGGUCAUCAAAAGAAGAAGAGGUGGACAAACCGGUCACUUCAUAGCUGAGUGCCCAAAUAUGAAAGACAAGAACAAGUACAACAAGAAUAAUGACAAGAAGUACAAAGGAAAGAAAAAGGGUGAAGCUCAUCUUGGUGAAGAAUGGAUAUCAAAUGAUAGUGACUCAAGUGAUGAAGAGAAGAAGAAGAAGAAAGGAGCUGCAAACAUUGCCAUCCACAAAUCCUCAUCAUCACUCAUGAAUCUCCCAAAGGCUUCACCACCAAAGCUCUUCCCCAACUUGGAUUCUACACCAAGCCUCUUCGCCAACCUCAACGACGAUGACUACUACACUCCAACUUGCCUUAUGGCUAAGGGGGAGAAGGUAACUACCUCAUCCGAAACCUCUAGUGAUGAAUAUGAUAGUCAUGAUGAAAACAUAGAACAACAUGAGGCAUCCUUGAUAAAGAAAUUUGGUCAUAAGGCCUUCACUAAAAUAAAAAGUCUAAUGAAGAAAUUAGAGAAGAGGGAUAGAUGCUUAGAGAUGCAAGGUGAUAUAAUUGUGCAAGAGAAGGAAAAGAACCUAGCACUUAAAGCAUCUAUCGCCAAGGAAAAGACGAAGGUUGAAAAGUUGACCGUUGAAUUGUCUUUAGCCAAUGACCCAAUUGGGAAAUUGACUAAGGAACAUUCCUCGGUUGAUAAUCAAGUAGCUAGCCUUAAAAAUGAGAAUAGUAUAGCUCAAGAAAGCCUCACAAGCUUUAAGGAAAAAUACCGAAUUCUUGAGUUAAACUAUAACACUCUUUGGGCUAGCACUUCGACUUCUCCUAAGGCAACCAAAGACUCUAAUGUCUCCACUAGCAACGGUUGUAAAAGAUGCUACAAAGUUGAUGUAAAUGCUUAUGCCACUAACCUUGUUGAGCUAGAGAGAAAGGACAAGGAAAUCAAUAGGUUGAAGAUGGAAAUUAAGAAGGGGUGUAAAUGCCAAGAGCAAUCUAAAAGGACUAUAUACAAGGCAUUUAGGCACCCAUCCAUCAAGGAAGGACUUGGUUUUAAUAGGUAUGAUGGAAAGAUCAAUGGAAGAAACAUUGUGAACGGAGUGCCUUGUGUAAAGUUCAACAAGGGUGUUGCCCUUGAUGAGCUUAUCUACAAGGCAAACAACAAGGUUUAUCUUCCGUUGAUUCAACCUACAAGCAACAAGGAAAGCAAGAUAAAGUCAUCCGAAGCUCCCAAGUCACAAGCACCACUUCCACGGUGCUAUGCUAGUGACUAUAUGUGUUGUUGGAGCAAAGAUGGCAAGAUCGUGGUAAAGUAUGUUGGUGCCCACAAGAGGAAGGAAAUAUUGAGGAGUGUUUGGGUGCCAAAACUUUAUGUGACUAACCCCCUAGGACCCAAAUCUAUUUGGGUACCUAAAACACAAGUUUGAUUUGUCUUUGUAGGAAUACUCCUCCGGUAGAACAAGUUGGGUGUUGGAUAGUGGAUGCACCAAUCAUAUGACCGGAGAGAAAGAUAUGUUCACUUCAUUCCAACCUAGUGGUGAACAAAGUGGAAACAUUGUAUUUGGUGACAAUGGAAAAGGAGAAGUACUUGGUUUGGGUAAAAUUGCUAUCUCAAAUGAUAACUCCAUUUCCAAUGUUUUACUUGUAAAUUCGUUGAGUUACAAUUUGUUGUCCGUCUCGCAACUUUGUGAAAUGGGUUACAAUUGUCUCUUUACGGAUAAGGGUGUGGAAGUCUAUAGAAGGGAGGAUUCCUCUAUUGCAUUUACGGGUCACCUAAAAGGGAAACUCUAUCUAGUUGAUUUCACAUCAAAUAGAGUAAAGCCCGAGACUUGUUUAAUGGCAAAAUCUAGCAUGGGGUGGUUAUGGCAUCGCCGACUUGCCCAUGUUGGGAUGAGGAACUUGGCCAAACUUCAAAAAGGCGAACACAUCCUUGGACUAACAAAUGUUUCUUUUGAGAAAGAUAGGAUUUGCAGUGCAUGCCAAGCGGGAAAGCAAGUAGGAGCUAAGCAUCCCGCAAAGAACAUCGUGACAACCGAAAGGCCCUUGGAGCUGCUACACAUGGACAUAUUUGGACCCGUGGCUUACAUAAGCAUUGGUGGUAACAAAUAUGGUUUUGUGAUUGUUGAUGAUUAUUCACGUUACACUUGGGUUUUCUUUUUGCGUGAUAAAAGUGAGGUCCAAGGUAUUUUCAAGAAGUUUGCAAGAAGAGCUCAAAAUGAGUUUGAUGUCAAGAUCAAGAAAGUUAGAAGUGACAAUGGGACGGAGUUCAAGAAUACCAACAUCGAAGAGUACCUUGAUGAAGAAGGAAUCAAGCAUGAGUUUUCGGUUCCGUACACUCCUCAACAAAAUGGUGUUGUGGAGAGAAAGAACCGGACACUCAUAGAAGCCGCAAGAGCAAUGUUGGAUGAAUACAAGACUCCGGUGAACUUUUGGGCGGAAGCGGUUCACACGGCGUGUCAUGCUAUAAACCGCUUGUAUCUUCACAAGAAAAGAGAAAAGACCGCCUAUGAACUUCUGACCGGUAAAAAGCCCAAGGUGCACUACUUUAGAGUUUUUGGAUCCAAGUGUUUCAUACUUAACAAAAAGUCCAAAAGCUCAAAGUUUGCACCAAAGGUUGACGAAGGUUUAAUGCUUGGUUAUGGUACUAACGAACAUGGAUAUCGUGUUUUCAAUAAAACCUCCGGUUUGAUUGAAAUCGCGGUAGACAUGACCUUUGAUGAAACUGAUGGCUCUCAAAAGGAGCAAGUCAAUGUUGAGAUUGUAGGUAAUGAAGCAGCUGCACAAGAAGCUAUCAAGAAGCUAGCAAUUGGUGAGAUAAAGCCCAUUGAAGAUGACGAUGAAGAAAGUGCAGUGCAUAUUGAUCAUGAUUCUACCAUUCAUCAUGGCUCAUCAAAUGAGCAUGGUGAGGCUUCCGCAUCAAGAAUCAAUGACGAUUGUGGCAACAAUGUGCAAGCUCAACCUCAUCUUAACCUUGACCACACAAGUGAAGAUAAUCAUCCACAAGAUCAUGGUCUUGGUCUUCCAAUAGAUCAUGGCUAUGAUGAUGAAGAAGAUGAUGGCCCCAUUCAUAGAUCAACUCAAGUACCACAUCCUAGAGUACAUCAAUCAAUUCAGUGGGAUCAUCCCGUUGAUAACAUUUUGGGAAGCAUUCGACGAGGGGUAACGACACGUUCUCGUUUAGCAAGUUUUUGUGAAUAUUACUCGUUUGUUUCUCCUUUGGAACCUCGUAGGGUGGAAGAAGCACUUGAUGAUGAAGAUUGGAUGAUGGCCAUGCAAGAAGAGUUGAACAACUUCACACGGAAUGAAGUCUGGUCCUUGGUGGAAAGGCCCAACCAAAAUGUGAUUGGAACCAAAUGGGUCUUCCGGAACAAGCAAGAUGAGCAUGGCGUGGUGACAAGGAACAAGGCAAGAUUGGUGGCUCAAGGUUUCACUCAAAUAGAAGGCUUGGAUUUUGGGGAGACCUACGCACCGGUGGCAAGGCUAGAAUCCAUCCGUAUUCUACUAGCCUGUGCUGCCCAUCAUGAUUUCAAGCUAUAUCAAAUGGACGUGAAGAGUGCAUUUCUAAAUGGCCCCCUAUCCGAGUUGGUGUAUGUUGAGCAACCACCGGGUUUUGAAGAUCCCAAGUUUCCAAAUCACGUCUACAAGCUCGACAAAGCACUCUAUGGGCUUAAACAAGCCCCUAGAGCUUGGUAUGAUUGCUUAAAGGACUUCCUACUCAAACAAGGGUUUGAGAUAGGAAAGGCCGAUGCUACCUUAUUUACUCGCAAAGUCAAUAAUGAUAUUUUUGUGUGCCAAAUAUAUGUCGAUGACAUAAUAUUUGGUAGUACUAAUGAAGAUUUUUGUGAGGAAUUUAGUAGGAUUAUGACGAACAGGUUUGAGAUGUCUAUGAUGGGUGAGUUGAAGUUCUUUCUUGGAUUUCAAAUCAAGCAACUCAAAGAUGGCACGUUUAUAAGUCAAACGAAGUACACCUACGAUAUGCUAAAGAAGUUCGACAUGGACAAAGCCAAACCCAUCAAAACACCAAUGCCAACAAGUGGGCAUCUUGACCUUGAUCAAGGAGGAAAGGACGUCGAUCAAAAGGUAUAUCGCUCCAUGAUUGGAUCCCUCCUUUACCUUUGCGCAUCUAGGCCCGAUAUUAUGCUUAGUGUGUGCAUGUGUGCAAGGUUUCAAGCUAGUCCAAAAGAAUGUCAUCUAAUGGCUGUUAAGAGAAUCUUUCGGUAUUUAGUGCACACUCCUAAUCUUGGCUUGUGGUAUCCUAAGGGCUCCACUUUCGAGUUACUUGGCUAUUCCGAUUCGGAUUAUGCCGGUUGCAAAGUAAGUCGAAAGAGUACCACUGGGACUUGCCAAUUUAUUGGUAGGUCUUUGGUGUCUUGGAGCUCUAAGAAGCAGAACUCCGUUGCUUUGUCCACCGCUGAGGCCGAGUAUGUGGCGGCCGGUGCAUGCUGUGCCCAACUACUUUGGAUGAAGCAAACCCUCAAAGACUUCGGUUGUGAGCUAACCAAGAUUCCCCUUUUGUGUGACAACGAGAGUGCCAUUAAGUUGGCAAACAACCCUGUAAACCACUCUCGAACAAAGCACAUAGACAUCCGGCAUCACUUUUUGAGAGACCACGAAGCCAAAGGAGAUAAUGCACUUCAACAUGUGAGCACCGAUAAACAACUAGCCGAUAUCUUCACAAAGCCCCUAGAUGAGUCAAGAUUUUGUGCUUUGAGGAGUGAGCUAAAUAUCAUUGAUUCUCGUAACCUAACUUGAUGUCUUGCACAUAAUUCGAUUGAUCUAGGUAGGAGAAAAUUGUUUGCAAAGUUUGUUUGCCAACUUUCAAAAUCUAAUUUAAUAUAGGUUUCAUGGAUGAUUAUGGUUAUGUAAUGCUUGUUUGUCAGCUAGUCAUCCUUGAAAUCAUUUGUGUCCAUCAUAUUCAUACCCCACUUUGCAGAGAGAGUUCAAAUUCUGAAGUUUUUGGGUCUUCUUGUGUCGGAAGUCCCGACGUGCGUCGGGAGUUCCGACGUGGUUGCGGGCUGAGCCCUCAGCCGGGAGUUCUGGCUAGCGUCGGGAGUCCCGGCCAGCGUCGGAAGUUCUGACGUGCGCCGGAAGUCCCGACGCAGAUCUCGCGCGCGGACCCGUCCCUGGCUUGACUUCUCUUUACCCCUUGACCGGCCAGUUACCGCAGUCAUUUCAUGUUUCCCCCUCCCCCCUCCCCGCAGUCAGUUCCCCCCCUUCACCCCGCGCCUCCUUCCUCCCUGCUCCGAUCCAGAUCCGCCGCCUGCGCGCGCCUCGCCGAUCUGCAAGGUCGCGGUGCGCCCUCCUCCUCGGCUCCCGUCGUGGUUCGCGGUGGUGCGCCCCUCUCCUUCCCCGUCGCCGGUGGUGCGCCCCUUCCCUAUCGCCGUGCGACCUCUCCGUCGCAGUGUGCGCGUGUGUGGUGGGCGCGUCCCGUCGUCUCUCGCUUUGCACUUUCCUCUCUUCCCUCUCAGGUGAUCUCUCCUCUUCUCUCCUUCCCUCCCCUACGUUUGCUUUGGAGUUUCUGCGCUCUCUUGCGUCGGCAGUUCCGACGGAAGUCGGGAGUUCCGACCGUCGGGACUCCCGGCUCGCGCCGGGACUUCCGACCCUGAGCGCCUUUACUCCAUCGCAUGUUUCCCUCUCUCUUUUUCUCGUUCAUGUUGUCUAGCACCUUAGUUGCUAGUAUCUUGUCUCGCAGCGAUGACUCGUGGAAGUCCUUCUCGCCAUGUGGAGAAGAGGUCCAAGACCAACCAAGACCGUUCCGCUGCCCCCCGCACCAAGGCCGUUCUUCCUCGGGCUGGUCCUGGUGGCUCUCGUCGUGCCGCUGCCCGUGCCUCUGGGCAGGGCCCGUCGGCUCCGGUGGCAGCGCCCCCUCCGUCCUCGCAUCGGGCUCCUGAUCCCACCGGGCGCGACACCGAGGUCGACCCUGCAGAAGAGGAGCUUUAGCGUGCCGGGCGGACUAUUUCUGCUCAAGUGCGCUCACCGUAUGAUGGGCCGGAGUGUCCCAUCUCCGCGCUGGUCCCCUUCGACUCUCCGGCCCCCAUUGUGCGGUGCCCCGAGAUCGCUCCCAACAUGGGUGGUUGGGCUCCUCCUCAUCCGAUUGAUUUCCGCCACAACGUCCGCGAUAUCAGGUCAUUCCGGAGCCGCAACCUUUAUGCUGAAGAUGAGAAGGAUCUCCACCUUGAGUAUUGCUUUUGGCACUACUUCCAUUUCUACUAUUAUGACUCUAUUCUGUAUCGCAAGUCUCUUAAGAAAGGGAAGCCUCCAGUUAUUCAAAUGAAGUAUAUCAUUGAGUACUCUCUUACCUCCACCUUCAAAGAUCAAGAGAUUCGGCAAAUGGUGGAAGACUUGCGCAACAUGGGUAUCUCGGGAUUGAUGGAGCUUCACAGGCAUUGGAACAAUGAGGUGAUUAUGCAGUUUUAUGCUUCAUAUUUUCAUGAGACUGACAACGAGAGUGACACUGAUGUGAUUCACUGGACCACUAAGGGUCGUCACUACAAGGUGGAUUUUGUCACCUUUGCUCGUCUGCUUGGUUUCAAUGGGCAUGAUCGUCGUGCAGCAGAGAUCACUGAUUAUGAGGAUGUGGCUAUGUCUGAGUACCAGUUUAUGUAUUUGGAGGGCUUUCCUGCUAAUGGAUAGACUGUUUAUCUGAAGCCCUAUUACUAUGUGCUCAACAACAUUCUCAGGCAGGUGUUGUACCCCAAGGAAGGAGACUCCACUUUUCUUAGGGAUGAUUCUCAGAAGGUCCUAGCCCGUUUUGGAGAUGAUUUCCACAAGUUCUCGGUCAGCCGGUACAUCUGGAACAGGAUUCAUGAUGCUUCUGAGGAUCCGGUCAAAAACCUUCCUUAUGCUCCUUAUGUCAUGCAUGUCAUUCAGCAAGUUUCACGCAUUCGCUUCCCUACUGAUGGCUCAAAUCACAAAGUCCUGAGAUUGGCAAAUCGGGUCUCCGUUCAAGCAGCUAGGGCUUUGAAGGCUCGUGGUGCAGAUCCUCCUCCUCGCCGUGGUGGUCCUUCCUCUGCUCGUUCCCGUCGUGCUGCUCCUUCGCCUCCUGCUGUCUCCCGCUCCACCAGUUCGCAGCCGCUCACCUCUUCUGGCAAAGGCAAGAAGCCUAGCAAGUUCAAGUUUCUCAUGACAUAUAUGUUUGGCCAGUGUUGUGCUAGUGCUCAGAGGGAGCAUGAUAUUCAGGAGAGGCUCUAUCGUCUUGAGCAGCAGGCUGGUGUUGUCUCUUCGCCCCCUCCUCCGUUUGUGCCUCCUCGUGAUCCUCUUGUUCUUUAUGAUGAGGCUUGCCAAGCUUAUCAGGAUGAGGCCACUUCUCGCCCUCAUGGCAAAGGUGUGGCUGCUCCGGAGGAUGAGGAGUACCAUGAAGACGAACAAGAUGAUGAUGACGACGACGCCGAUGAUGAUGGCGGUGACGAUGAGGACUUUGACUUUGAGUAGCUGUUUCUUCUCUAGCGCGGCCUACCCCUUUUGGCACUUAUUGACAAAGGGGGGAGUGUUAGGCUUUGAUCUUUCAUGUAAUAAGCUAGAUGUCGUGGUUGGUAGUCUUAAAAACUUUUUAGUUUCAAUUAUCUAUGUCUCGUGGUGGCACUAUGUGAUGGACAUCUUUAUAUGUUGUGUGAGUUGGUUGAUUGUAGGACAAGUUGUUAAUCUUUUAUCUUAAUACUUUGCUUUCUUGUCCUCGUCUCUUUUGUUUGUUUGUUGAUUGAGUUUUUGUGAUGGCCAUGUACUUAAGGUCUAUCUUGGUUUAUUGGCCAUCCUAUUCUCUCCACUUUGUUGUGUGAAUAUAAACUGUCAUAUUGCAUACUCUUUCACGGUUAUACUCUUUUUCACACUUGUUGCACCCCACGGAGUGCAAAAUUUAGGGGGAGCUUGUUCUUUGAUGUAUGUUUCUUAAGUGAUGACAAUCACCAUUGAAAUUCAAAUUCAUGCAUACAUCAAGGGGGAGCUCGCUGUAAAUUUUGGACUUCAAAAGCUUUUUGAUUUUCAUUUGUAAGCCUAAACUUGGUUGUCAUCAAGCACCAAAAAGGGGGAGAUUGAAAGUGCAUUUGCCCCCUAUGUGGGUUUUGGUGUAUUGAUGACAUCCAAUUUAGGGACUAAUGCGUUGUAUUUGAGAUUUGCUACAGCUACUAGUCUUAUGAAAGAUGCAAAGGUUCAACCUAAGAUGAAAUGGUAUCCCCCAAUCUUCGUUCGUGAGAAAGGCGUUGGAUUCAAUCUAGAGCUUAUUCGUUUUUAUGUUAACUUGGGGAUAGGUAUGCCGUACUAUCAAGAGAGAUUCAAAGGUUGUUGGUUUGGGGAAGAUAGAGUGCUCAAGUCUUUCAACUAAAUCUUUUUAGAGACACUCUAGCUCCUCUCUUGCACUUAGGAUUAACUUCUGUGACUUCUGGUGUCGGAAGUCCCGACGCGGGUCGGAACUCCCGACGUGCUGCGCGAGAAAUGUGAGCGUCGGAAGUCCCGACGUGAGUCGAAAGUCCCGACGUUGAGUUCUGCGCGCGCACGCGUCGGAAGUCCCGACAAGCGUCGGAAGUCCCGACGCCAGGCCUGUCUCACGCAAGUGCCAGCAGUUCCGGCCAGCGUCAGCAGUACUGACCCGUCGGAAGUUCCGACGCAUGUCGGAAGUUCUGACACUGACUUCCUGCGCUGACCUCGGCUGCCUGCUCAACAGUGUUUCCCAGUGAGUGUCGGAAGUCCCGACACUAUGUCGGAACUUCCGACGUAGAUCUGAGCAGACUUUUCUCCUAGUAGUAUAAAUAGCUUCCUCUGUGUUUCUAACCGUUACCCACUCAUUCUUUGCGACCAACCCUCAGACUAAACAGCUCCCAAGCACCCAAGACUCCUCUCUCCUCCUCCUCUUUGCUCCUAACUUCAAUUCACCUUAGAUUUGGAGUGUUUGGAGAGUGGAUAAGUGAGAGUAACGCCUUGAGAAGUUUGAGCACUUGAUCUCUUCGUCAAGCCGGCAGGUUUUGAGUUUAUUACUCUUGGGUUCUUGGAACCCUAGCCGGCUAGGCGUCGUCCAAGAGCUUCCAUCUUGUGGAAGAGCCUUGGAAAGUUUGUAUCACCCCGUUUUUCUUAGUGGAAAGCUCAAGUGACCUUUGUGGUUACUUUGAGGGAGGCAAGGAGGUGAAAGAGACUCCGACCUUAGUGGUCACCUCAACAACGAGGACGUAGGAACUCCUAAGUGGGGUUGCCGAACCUUGGGUUAAUUCCUUGUGUCUCUUGUGGUUACUUUUCUUAAGUUCUACUUGUAUUUGCUUGUGCCUCUACCUCCUUUUUAGGGUUUGGUCUCGAUCUACGAUUUGGGGAACUCUUGGUGUCAAGGAAGGCUCUCAACAUCCUCUUCUAACCACUAGAGAGUGGUGUUGUAAGUUGUGGAUUUCACAAAGUUCAUUUAAGCUCUUGUAGUUCAUUUCCCGUAGGUGUCGGAACUGCUGACAGUUUGCGUUGGAACUUCUGACAACGUCGGAAGUUCUGACCCAAACUGUCGGGACUUCCGACAGUUGCUGACAAGUGACUUUGAGUUUUGUGUAGAAUUUUUAGAUACGCCUAUUCACCCCCCUCUAGGCAUUGUUUAGAUCCUUUCACCAGGCCAUCCACUAUUGGAAUUCAUCGGCAUAGGCCCUGCCGAUGAUUGGUAAUUAGGCAUCAUCAUUGAAUUGACGUACCCUGGCUAUGUCAUAAACCUCUGCUGCGUCGGCAUUGAGUCUGCCGAUGCGUUAGGCAUCUGGAACAUUGGAACUUGAGAAUUCCCAGUGUAAGGUCUUGCAGUAGUAGUUGUAGUAUACUGGGAACUCUGAUUCAUCGGCAAAUUUAGAGGUGCCGAUGCCAUAGGAGCCUUGCCUCUCGUGUCAGCCAUCUGAGAUGUUCCAGGUGUCUUCAGCAUCAUCUCUGGGGACAUACCAUAACCCCACCAGUUGGGAGGAACCGAUCCCGACAUUGCUGAUGCCAAUAGAUCUGUGGCAAGCUUGAUUUGCUCAUCUGAAGUUGAUGGAUUGAUUGUCAUCGGCAUAGAUUGCACAUCGGUGAGUCCUAAUGUGCUGGGAGGAACCGUAGUUUUUGUGCCCGCAGCGGCUACUGUAGCCGACAGAGCUGUGACAACUGGCGACCCCGGCUGAUGAUGAGAAGGACCAACAUAAUUUGGUGGCAAUUGUCCUUCUUUAAAAGUUCUAGCCAUGGCGUUGAAAACCGUAUUGGACAGCACACCAGCUUGAUUGAUCAAGGCACGGUUAACAGUACUAUCAACCAUGUCUUGAAGUUUACCAGGAUUGGCUUCAAAAGUAACGUGCCGAGGCGUCGGCAGCGCAUCCUUCUAGAUCACCUCGCCACUCCUGUUUAUGCUGAAGGAUUUCAAACAUUGCUGCUUGUAAUCCUCCAUGGCUUUCGCGAUAGCUUGCUUCUGCUCAUCCCUGAGAUUGGCUUCCGUCACGGGGAUGACGUUCUCCAAGUCGAACUCGGUAGUCGACAUAUUGAUCUUGAUCUUGAGAUGGUCCCACCGGGCGUGCCAAAAGAUGUGUUGAUGCAAAAAAGGAUCUGCAAACACACAGGGCUAAUACCCGAUUCAAACGUUAAGGCGUGCCAGCCGAUUUGACCUUACUAUCGGCAAAGGUGAUAACUCGAAUACUUUGGUCCCGACAACAGCGAUGCGCCCGGAUGUCACGGCCAAGAGGUAUUCACGCAGAACUCGAGAAUACGCCGAGCUUAAAUCGACGAACUCCUAAGAACUCGUAAAAAAAGGAAAAUAUGACGAAGUCGUCGAAAAGUAGAUGCUGGAAUAUGAGUAAAAAACUUGUGUUUGAUUAAUUGAUAGAUAUCUCAUUACAAGGCCCUAGGGUCUACAUUUAUACCCUGCUCAAAGAGCUACAAUCAGACACGACUAGGACUCGAAUUCCAAAUUAAACGGAAUCCGUAUACAAAACAAAUUUAAAUAUCUAUGGAAAACAUAAAAGGGAAAAAUGGCUACCGGACAUGCAAAGUGGUGACCAUUGCUGGAAGACACUUUUUCAUGUAACACUCACCACCAAAACAAUUGUCAUUUGUAAACCAUAAGGCCAACGGCUAUGAAAUUUUAACAGCAACAAGAUACGAUAGUUAUCUACAAAUCAUCUAAUACUCACUUCCAUAGAAAAUCUUGUUAAGGACACGAAAUCAUGUCCACCAGCAAAUCAUGGCUGUUAAGGUUGCUGGUGGACAUGAUUUCAUGUCCUUAACAAGAUUUUCUAUGGAAGUGAGUAUUAGAUGAUUUGUAGAUAACUAUCAUAUCUUGUUGCUGUUAAAAUUUCAUAGCCAUUGGCCUUAUGGUUUACAAAUGGCAGCUGUUUUGGUGGUGAGUGUUACAUGAAAAAGUGUCUUUCAGCUAAUGCGUGCCACUUUGCAUGUCCGGUAGCCAAAUGCCCCAACAUAAAACUAUCCUCCCGUGACAAACCGGGACACCACCAUAGAUCAAUCGGCAACCUUCACGUUCUCCUUCCGAGUCAUCGGCAGACUUCUCACCAUAGCCAUCAGCAAAGACUAACGCUGACCAUCGGCACGAACGCGUCACCACUUCUGGACUUAGUCACAUUCAGCUGUCUCUUCAUCGGCAACCACCCUCAUCGGCAACUCCCCUGCAGACCAGUUACUGUUGCCCCAUCUUGCCGAUCUAUACUUUACCGAUCCCUGGGUACGUGUCCAAAAACGGUGUCAACACAUCCUUAGGAGGGAUGUUGUAGCGUAGAUCCCUGUCCUGGUUUACUUCCUGACCACGCCCGCGCCUCUGAUAACCACCCGUGUCCUGACCACAGUAGUCGCGUCCGGCGUCCUUCCUGCGACCGUUGGGGGAGCGGCUAUGACGGCGCCCGCUGGGCCGCGGUGAAGUCCGGCUGCGAUGAAUCUGGUCGGAGGAAAUCUCCGUGUAGGAGACGGCUUGGACCCUUUUGAGCAAAGUGGCUGUUUGUCCCAUCGCGGCGAUCAAAUGCGCUCGUAUACUGGAUCGGACGCCCUGGUACUCUGGGGUAUCGGGGAGUCGGUCUAGGUUUGCCAUGGCAACGACCACGUUAGCGCUUGGCGUCUUGUAGACUGGCUAAUCUCCGACCAUGUCAAAAGCAUCACUGAGGUUGUGUGGCGCAAGUUGUCAAUCUUCAUCGCGCCGCCGAGCACGAUCGGCAUUGCGCUGCUCGCGGAGUUGCUUCUGCUCGUCGGUUUCGCCAUCGACAACCGGUUCGUCGUUGCUGACGUUAAAGAUAAGAUCUCCUCGCCGGGGUGGAAAGACUGGAAAACGAGAAAAACCCGGAGGGUAUGGCGGUAAAUCUAGGUCGUAGUCUUCGUCCUCGGAGUGUAAAACCUCGGUAGGGAAAGACCCUGUGCUGGAGUUCGUACUGGUAGCCUUAUCGUCCGGCAGGACUCGGAUGGAUAGCAUGUUGACGUAAUGGCGAGCUGCUCGGCUGCUCUGCCCCGGCGACAAGCCCACUCUGCUGAAAAGAGAUCAGGUAUGCCGCAAAUACUGGUCGGCCGAGUUGUUUAGACCAUAAGGGCAAUUCUGGUCUUGAGCUGCCUUGAACUUGACAGAUCGUCCCGUGGGGGUCGAUGUUAUUGUUAGGGACGUCUCCAGCUGUUCGUGCGUGGUGACACGAGUUGGCCGAUAGGAGUCGAAAAAGUUUGUUGACGCCGCUUGAUCAGAUUUGCGCGAGAUCAAAUCCACCAGGUUGGAGGCUUCGAGGAGCCUGAGGUCGGCGCGAUCAAGGGCUUGGAGAAGAUCCGAGUUGUCGACCCUCUUUGCCCUAUAACGAGGGAGUGGAGGUCGGGUGCUCGGAGUCGGCGUGAUCGGAGUCGACGCCUCUGGUGCCCCAGAUUGGAUCUGCGUUUCUUCCGAAGUCGUGGUCGUGAGGCCGCCGGCAUGAGUUGUCCACGUGAUCUGGUCGACGGUGAACGUUAGGCCAUCAGCCACGGCCGCGGAAGUUGGAAUGAUGACCAUCUUGUUCGUCGGGAGAGCUGUACGCACACCCCCUACCUGGCGCGCCACUGUCGACGAAAGCUAGUCGGCAGUCUACCUUGGGGUAUACCCACGGUAGUAGUUUAUUGGUAGACGGUGCGCAAGGUACGAACUUGACGGUGACGCAAGACACGGACAGAGUUUUUAUCCAGGUUCGGC
RNAcentral lists this long non-coding RNA (48390 nucleotides) under Sorghum bicolor (sorghum). RNAcentral's name for it is "long non-coding RNA (SBIC_LNC006949)". Lineage: Eukaryota; Viridiplantae; Streptophyta; Magnoliopsida; Poales; Poaceae. The record is from RNAcentral.